CUGUCCAUAAUCUUGGCCACCACGUCCUUCGAAUCCCUCAGUUUUUUUAUGCUUCUGUUAAGCUUCUCACGCUUUACUGCUACUGCCGGUGACUCCUCCAACAUCCUCUCAAUUCCCCCACCGUAAGGUCCCAUCAACUCCUUCACAAUCUCAGCUUCCAUCUCUUUGUUCACAAGGUUGAAAACAGACAGCUGCAAGUGCAAUGCCAUGGAGUCCACAAGCCUCCUCAAAACAACCUUCCAAUAGGCAAUCAUUCUCAUUUUAAGGUCAUAAGCUUGAGCUAACACAUGCGGGUACUUCCUCAGAACACCGACUUCCACUUCCCCGAUGCCUACUAUAUCUAUGAUAGAAGGUUUCUUCUCAUCAGUUAAGACUCCAUGAAUGAAUUCGUUUUGACUAGCCAUCAACUUGUUCCAUUCGGAAACAUAAUCACCAUCACAUGUAUAAUCUGUCAGCUUUUCCAUCUCUACAAGCUCCAGCAUCCACUUGAUUGAUCUCUCCUUCAUCUUGGCCAUUAGACUAUGGCCGGCACGCCUUGCUGAUAACUGCAGCUGAUGAUAGUUAUCCGUAUAAUGCAUCAACACAGAAAUAACCACCUCUUCAAUGUAGUUCCACACUUUUUCCUCAAAUGCAAUCGGAAUACUCGAAAUUUCAUUCACUUUUGCCUGCAAGAUAAUGAGGAAAGCAUUGCGUGGAAGGAAGUUCGGAAGUGAAAUACCUUUGGCCUCCUCCAAGAUCUUGAUCUCCUCCAUCAAGAAGUUGCUCUUUGCAUCAGUUUCAGCACAUCUGUGAAGUUCAUCCGAGUACUGGUUGAGCAUCUCAACCAAUCUAGCAGUGCAGUGCAUGCGAUUAUCUUCGGCGUACUCCUCAAAUUCUCCUCUCAAAAGAAUCUUCCUAAGCGAUUCCUUAGCCAAGCCAAUGAUUUGCAUAAAGGCCGUCAUUGCCUCGGCAACAGACGAAAGACUCUUUGGCAUUUUGUUCAGCAUCAUAAUGCAGAAGUUCAGCCUGUCAUUGAUCUUCUUCACUAUCUCAGGUAUAUUUCUUGCUAUGCUGUUUGCUUGAAUUUGGACCAGCUUCUGUGCUAAAACUGGAAUGCCGACAAUGGACUUGUCAAUCUUCGAAAGCAGAGGAUGGGUUUGAAAUAGUUCAUGAGCCAUCACCGCUGCCUCCUCAUAAGUUUCGUCACCAAUCCUGUUCCUUACACAGACAUAACCAAGACCAAUGUUUACAUCAUCUCCAGUGACCUUCUCAAGUAGUCCUUCCGGUGCCUUGUCCACUUUCGUAACCACAGCGAGCGUCCUCUCACCAGUUUUAUCUACACUUUGUGACAUCCGGAUUGACUCACAAGUAGUAAAAUCCACCGUAGCAGACAAUACAUUCAGAAUAAUACUUUCCUCCGGCUUAAUAUACUCCAUGAUCAUAUCUUUGAUCUGAUCAUAGAUAUUUUCAGGUUGGCCAUGGACUGGAACCCUUGUGAUUCCCGGAAGAUCAACCAUAGUCAGAUCCGGAACCCCAUUCUUCUUCACCAACAAAGUAAGUGGCAUGUUUGAAAUUCCCUUACCUCCCCCCGCAAUAGAAUUAGUCGCUUUCACAAUAUCUUUGGCGAUAUUUUCUUCAUCAGUACGAUCAACUCUGCCAUUGUACUCCAAGGAAAGUUCAGGCUGAGGACUCGAGUGGUGUUCCAGCCUCAUAAUAAGAGGCACUCUCGUGCAGAUGCCUUGGCCCCGAGGUAGGCUGAUGCCGGCCAAGGAUUCGAGCACGCUAGACUUCCCGGAUGACUGGUCUCCGACCACCACAAUCGUUGGCAGCUGAAUGCCUUCAUCCAUCACCUUCAAGCUGCGUAACUUGUCUACCGCAUCCAGAAGAGGGCGGAUCUUGUCGUUAUAGGACGACACAAUGGGUGCGCAUUUGAGAGGUACUACGUCUAGUCCUGCCUGAACCAUUGCGAGUGAGCCUUCACCGUUUAAGACUGUGUAACUCGAUUCCAUUUACCUUCGUCCUUCCGUUUCUGAAUUAUAGGAUGUCGAAACAAUGGUGAAAAUCCAGAGGGAAACCGAGAUUACUUGUCAGAGAAGAUAUCAGUCAGGAAGAAGUGAGAAAGCUGGUUUUAGUAAGUGCCUUAAGGUUAAAGGCUCCUAGUUGUAUGUAUAAUUGUUCAGCAAAACCUAUCGAAGUAAAUGACAACCAGCCGUUUCAAAGGCUCCUAGUAGUAUGUAUAAUUGUUUAGCAUUUUGAAGAUGCUACAUGAAAUGUCGUUUUUAGCCCUUUCCUUUAUCUUUUUUAUUUUUUUUCCCGCGUGUUGCUCGGCUUUGCCGUUUUGCCUUUUUUAUUCUAGGUAUUUAUUUCCUUUUUCUCUCUUGACUUCCCCUCGCACACUUCCAUGCAAUCCCUGUCGCCAUUGUGGCACAAAACACAAUAAAAAAUUAUAAAUAAAUUAGAUGCAUUCGCAAAAUAAUUAUUAAAAAUUUUGAGAAGCCCACCUGUCUUCCAUUGCUUUGCCUUUUGGUUAUUUUAUUUUUUGGUUUUGCUGUUUUUUUUGUCUUCCACGCCGAGCCUGCAAUGGUUUGUGGCAAACAACACAUAGGGGGUGGGUUCAAAAAACCGAAAACCGAAAAAAAUCGAAAAUCAAACCGAAUCGAAACCGAACCGAACAAAAAAACCGAACCGAAUUGAAAAAACCGAACCGAACCGAAUUAAUUAAAUUAAUAUUUUUUUAAAUUUUAUUUAUUUAAUUAUUUGUUUUGGGUAUUGUUUUUUAAACCCAAUUUGUAAUAUUUUUAAACCCAAUUUUAUUUGUUUUGGAUAUUAUUUUUUAAACCCAAGUUGUAAGCCCAAUGUGUUACCAAAUACUUACUACCCUUUUCUCAUUUUUCUCACACUCCAAUUUUACUUCUAAUUAUUUAUGGUUUGUUUGUUUCAUCACUAAACCAGUUGCUUUCCAUUUGUCUCUUGAUCAAUCAUGUUCUUCUUUGUUUGUCUUUUUAUUGUUUGAAUUGAAAUUAUGAGUGAUUUGGAGUAAUAAUCAUAGGGUAAUCAAAUUUACUUGUACAACUUCUCUCUCUUUGCACUCCAGUCCAUUUACUUUCAUAUCUCUGCUGAGUAAAAAUUGAGGGGGAGAGAGAGAGUUAAACAUUUUAAAUUUUAUUUUUUGUUGCUUGACUUUGUAAAAGACUGAAACUUUCACUGCAUUCUCUUAGAAAACUAAACAUACUAUUGGAUUUGAUGGUUGUUUGUGAUUUGGGUUUUACUGCUUUGUUUGCCCUUUAUUAAUAAUCAUGUAAUGUUUGAGUGAUCUAUUUUGCUCAAAAGUUUUAGGACUUUCCUUGAUAUUUUUUAAGAAACCAAACAAGGAUUAACCCUAUGUAUACUUUGUUUGUUUGCUUGAUGUGAAAAAAAAAUAUCCAAAACAAAUAAUUAAAUAAAUAAUACUGAGAAAAAGAGAAUUUAAAAUAUCAUUACUUUUUAAACCCAAUUUCUCAAGAACCAAACAAAGAUUAACCCUGUGUAUACUUUGUUUUUUUUUAAAAACCCAACCAUGAUGUAAAAAAAACCGAAACCGAACCGGAAAAAACCAAACCGAAAAAAAAAUAAACCGAACCGAAAUUUCGGUUCGGUUUCGGUUUUGGCAAAAAACUGAACCCACCCCUAACAACACGUAUAAAAAAAAUUAUUUGCCCAAAAAAAAAGAUUACAUGGACAAAACAAUUAUUAAAAAUUGAGAUAUUUGUCCCCUUUUUCUCUCCUGACUUCCCCUGCUUCCCUGCAUUCUUGCCAUGUCGCCUGUUGCAGGGAGAAGGUGAGAAUUGGUUGUGCCACGUGUUGGUGAUCAUGUUGUUUACUUUUUGGGGUUUAUAUUGGUGGAGGCACAUUCUCUGCCUUCUUAAUUUCGGUGUCCUCCUGUUUUGUGUGGUCACGGUUAAAUCAUUUCAACAUUUUAUAUUAUUUUUUAAUAGAGAUAAUAAGACAAAAAAGAAUAGUAAUAUAUAAUGUUGAUCUGACUUAACCUUGACCACACAAACAGGAGGGCACGGGAGAGCACUGAAAUUGGGAGGGCAGAAAAUCUGCCUCCUAUAUUGGUUCAUUUUAGUACCGUUUGGUACGCAGACGGGACGAAAGGGAACAAGACGGGAUGAGACGGGACGAAACAGUGGUUCCAUGUUAUAUUUGGUAUGUACAGGACAGAACGGGAAAGUUGUUCCGUUGUGGGUUUGGUAAGCGCAAGACGGAACGGAACCAAAAGAAUAAAAUGAUUAACUUACCCCUGUUUCGUCUGUUGUUUGGUACAAUAUUUAGGCUUGGUAUGGGACGGAACAAUUUCAUUAUUUUUUCACCUUCUUGCUGCUGCUUAUCUAUGAUAUAUUUUGUACACUAUACUUGGAUGUGUUCAUAUUUCAUACCGUGUAUAACAGAAAACAAGAGACAUGUAUUUGUACUUUAUGUUGCUCAUAUAAUUAAUUUAGUGGGAUAAUACGUCAAUUAAUUUUAUGUGAUUUAAAAAAAUAAUAUGGUGAGAGCAUGCCAUUGGCUUGGCACUUUGGAACAUGGCAGUGUAGCCACAAUAUGUAUAUGUGAUGAAUUACAUAUGAAAAGGUUGGUGUGGUAGAACAACCGUUGAUGCAAUGGCUAUGUUGGAAUCUUUGACACAAUCUGCUUUCAUCUCUUCAUCAUCACAUUGAAAUGCAAAUUGUGUCAAACAAUAUGUAUAUUAUAAGUUGAGAUGUGAGUCAAUUGGAUGUCUAUGGCAAUGGUUGUCAUGCAAGGAUGAAAAAUAUAGAAGUUUAAUGAUAUUAUCUUGCUAAAGCAAUAAACAUGAAAUAUCCAGAGCUUAAACAUGAAAUCCCAAAUUAAACAUUCAUCUUGACUUAAAGAAAAAAGAAAAGAAAGAUAAUGUCUUACUAAACCCCAGAAGUUGAUAUAGUUCAUUCAUAUCAUACUAAACCCCCUAAUGCUCAGAUGUCAUCCAUAAAUAUUUUAAUGAAAUCUGCCUUGUGAGAGUCAUCCAGGGUACACCAAAUACUCAACAUAUCAGUAUUUUUCACUAAUUUUUAUUGAAAUUUUCAGCACUUGAUCAUAUGGGAGACCCAUGGCCUGAACUCGAUACAAAAAAUUUAGUCUCAUAUUCAUCUAUACCUUCACAUGAAAAAAAAACACAUGAAUGAAUGGAGCAUCAACAUACGUGGGAUUCAAUUACAAGCAUAUGAUUAAAUGGUAAAACAAAGUGGAGCUUCAUAUCCUAAUUGCAAUUCUUAAAGUGGAGCAUCAACUUUGUCAUGCACUGAAAAUCUGAGUGAUACCAUAUGAGGAUUCGAGUAAUGCUAUAUGACCCAAAUGCAGUUCAGUCUACAUUAUUAAAAGAUGGCAGUCCGAACAACAAGAAUGUACCAGCUUUAACAAUGACUUCUAAGUUUUGCAUAUGCUGAAGUUAAGAAUAUUCAAGCAUCAAAUAUGGCAGUCUGAACUCAAUACACUAUAAGACCUUACAUAAAUAGGUGACUACAUUAUUAAAACAUACCAGCAGUACUGCAAUAAAUAGUGAGCCAUACUAUUAACGAUCAUUUAUGACACGCCCCGAUCCCGAUGUCCUGUAGACAUCGAGAUGGUCACGUGUUGGCCGACACCCGAGGGGUGACGUAAGCCAUUCGAUUAAAGUAAAAACCCAUAAAAUGCUCACAAGCAUGAAUAAUAUAGCUCAAACCAUAGCAAUUAAACGUAAAGCAGCAGAAACAUAAUUACAUUAAAAUAAUAUUCAACUGCCAACACAAAACAAAACAAGAUACAACAAACCCUGUCCAGAGCAUACGUCUAAUAUAGAUUACAAAAGAAAGAAUAUAAAUUGAAUAACAAAAGGAGUGGAUCCUACAAUGAGAGGACUCAAAGAUGCCAAUGCAGAAGUGUCUUAACGCCGGGAUUGUAUGCCUCGAAUCUAAGCCCUAAAGGGGGCGCAAAACAAAGGUGAGUGGACCAAUUUGAUAUACAUAUAAGAAACAAUUAUCAACAUACUAUCCCGCAGGUUUUAUGAAAACUCAUAUAUAUCAUGAUAAACAUAGGUUUAUCGAAACCUAGAAUGUCGUGCAAUAUUUCAAUUCAUAACUCGCCAUGCAAUGUCUCAAUUCAUAACUCGUCGUACAAUAUCUCAAUUCAUGAUUUGCAUAUAAUAAUCACUAGUGUCAAAUGUUCACAUAUAUCCCUCCUGGCCCUAUGCCAUCUCCCCGUCCCUGAGCAUACAGUUAGAGGAAAAUAUCGCUUCAGGCCCUAUGCCAGCUCCCCGUCCAUGUGCUAAAUAGCCAGAGGAAACACACUCCAGGCCCUAUACCAACUCCUCCGUCGCUUGGGAUGGACCGGAAUCUAUCUCUCAUCCCGUAGCGGAAAUUGGGACCACUAGGUAAUAUAGAACCAUUGCACAUACAUCUCAUAAACAUUCUCAUAAACUCAUGCUUCUCAUGUAUGCAUUUCUACUAAUAAAACAUGCAUUUUUAGAAAGGGGUCACUCACAGUACUUCGCCGUCGAAAGCCGCGCUGCUAGCGAAGAAACAGUGCCACAAUAUAUGCACUUAAGCACAUAAAGGGUUCAACACAGUCAAACUCUAUUCAGAUGAUUUAAUUUAGGAAAACAGACUUAAAAAACGGAUCUAAGACGUCGAAAUUAACCUACGAGGGAAAUUAACCUACGAGGGGUCCUGAACGAAAUCCAAAAAGUCAACUCAGAACAGUCAACGAUCAACGGGUCAAAGUCAACGGGUCGGGUCAACCGAGUUUUGGAUUGGAUUUGGAUCUGGGUAUAGGGUUUGGGUUUUUGGGUCACGGGCCAGAGGCCCUAAUUGAAGGAACCCAAAAGGGUUCCCUGGGUUUGGGUUACACGGGCCAAAGGCCCUGGUCUUCUCGGCCCAAGGCUUUAAGCCUAGGGUUUGGGUUUUAGCUGCCAAGGCCCUAAGGGCUUUUGGGUUUCGAAUUGAACGGGCCGAAGGCCCCAACUAAAAUAAAAAAAUGUAACGAGCUAGGGAACUGGGUCUGCUAGCAAUGGGCCUAAUGCCCAAAAUAAAAUGGCCCAAAGGCCUUGUGAAUUAACAAGCAAAAUAAUUAAAAUAUAAAUAAAAGAAAAUGGGCUGGGUUUGCAACGGGCCUAAGGCCUGAGGGGGUUUGGGUCGGUCCGAAGGCCUGGGUGCGCCGGGGGAAAAACCAGAGGACACCGAAGCUGCUACAGCUCUGGCUGACUACAAACGGAGGUCUAGUGCUCCAAUCUAGCUACCAAAAUGGAGUACAAGAAGAGGGGAGUACUUUGGUACCUUCAAAUCGAAUUGAAUUGACCGGAUUUGCUCAGAAAAGUCCACGGCGCUCACAGGUUCGUCGGAGAAAUGGGUGUGCUCACCCCGUGUGUCGAUCUCGACCUAAACCUCAGAAAAAUCAUGAAAGUCACUUCCAAUUUCUCAAUCAAACACAAUUUAACCCUGAGUGAGAACGAUCGGAGGCUUACCUAGCCGGAAAAAAAGAAGAUUCGCCGGAGGUUUCCUGUGUUGUUUUUCCUUCGUGCGUGCGUGCGUGUUCACGGGAGGGAUGCGAGGGAUACGGGAGAGAGAUGAGAGAUUUAGUUUCGAGAAAGACUGAGGGAAUACAGAGAGAAAGAGAGAUGAUAGGGAUAGGUGAUGUGGGAAAUGGAGGACAUAAUCAGGGUGGGCCCCUUGGGCUUACCAUUUAAGGCCCAAAACAAUAUUUUAUAAAAAGAAGGAGGGUGGGGUGUAACAAUUUAGCUUAUUAUCCCCCACUCAAGACAGGGCCAGGCCAUUAUUAUUAACAGUUUGAGGUUAAAUACAAAAAUCCUACGUAUUCGUCCGAUCAAUCUGUGGGAGAAGAAAUUUCAAGAUAGGAAGAUAAUAUCUUUCCUUGCUAUAAAAAAACUUCAUUUAUUUCUAAAAGCCAGUGGUAGAAUAACUAUCAACUUGGGGCCACAUCACACAUACACGGUACAACAUUGGUCUCUCUUUAACCUUUGUUAUAAAAACGCAUCUAAGGUCAUUAAAACAAUUCAAACAUGCUCCUUCCACUAACUGAACAACCAAAGAAUGCUGUUCUUCACUAGACAUACUGAUCAACUAUAACAAAACUCACGAUGAUAAGUAAUAGGUACGGUGAAUACAAUCAAAUAAAAUAUGUUGCAAGAUGUAGAACUUUGCAGAAAUAUUAAUGUAAAGAAAGAACAAAAAAUAUUCGAGGCAAACAAGUUACUCGUCCCUAAGAAAAACCCUCAAAUUACUUGAUUCUUCCAACAUAGAAUCCAAUCCAACAUAGGAAAAUCCUAAACAUGUAACCCAAUCCAAUCCAACAGAACCCAAAGACAUCAGAUUUAUAGAUUUUAGCACAUAAAAAAUGAAACUUGAACACUAGAAAACCAGAUAGAGAGAUACCUCUGAAUGUAGUACUGCUCAAUAGGGGGAGUGGAAUGAGAUAAACAGAGGCGGAUCUUUGGUUUCAGAUGCAGUAUUGGGUAGAUCGAAGCACUACAAAAUACAAAGAAAAAAAAAAAAAAAGCAAAUCAGAAAAGAAUACAAAGAAAUCGAAGCACUAAAAAAUACAAAGAAUUUCAGCAGAAUUAGGAACUGGGUGUUAAUGAAAUCGAAGCAAGCAAAUCAGAAAAGAAUAAUAAUGCCACUUCAAGCAACAGCAAACACCAAACCAAGAGAGAAAGUACUACAAAAUACAAAGAAAGAGAGAUCGAGAGACUACACAAUCACUAUCAGAUUGAACCUGGAACGGAGAUGCAGAGCUGAAAGUUCACAGAGAAGCUACAUGGAAAAGGAUGAGGAGGAAGGUUGCGAAGGGGAGAUGCAGGAGGAUGAAUAAGUUCACAGCGACAGAGAGAAGAGAAAUGAUAGUUAGGGUUUGUCGUAUGAUAUAGAUGGUGUAAAUAUUGAAAAAGCUAAGGGGUAUUUUUGCCUUAAAAUUUUAUGAUUUUUGUGUUCCACGUGAUGGAACAACCCGUUCCCGGGGGAGAGGGGAGGUGGCACCAAAAUUUAACCCAUUUUCUUUCCGUGGGACAGCGCGUUCCACAUAAUUUAGGGCACCAAACAUGGGACGGAACACGUCCAUCCCACUCCGUUCUGUCCCAUCCAACGUACCAAACGCACCAUUUCCGUUUCAGCUUAGUUCCCUUUUUGUUUGCACAUUUGUGCAUUGAAAAGUCGAUUAUGCCCUUUGCUGGGUGCUAUCUUCCUUAUUUCAGUUCCUCAUAGUUUAAGCGGCUGUUUCUCAGCCCACGUGUCGGUUAUCGUGAGGUUUGGUCUUCCAUCUAUAUCCACCCUGCUUUGUGAAGCUGCUGGAAAUGUCUUCCAUUUUGAGCGUUUUCUUAAUUUUUUUCGUACUUUGUGUGUGGAUGUUUGAUCUAAUUUCAUUUUUUUGUUUCAAGAAACGUUGGCCUUCGAAUUUUAAGGGUUUAUUGUACAAGCUUGCAAGCCCUUUCUGGGUGAGGUAUAUAAUUUUUGUUUUUGUUCUUAAAUCUUUUUCCAAUAGAAUUUUAAUUGUUUUUUUGGUCCUGUUUUGUUUUUGGUGUGAUGAUUAAUUAUUGGGCGGUGAAGCAUCAACACGUACACAAAAUGGGUGUAGCGGAGAUGAGGAUGCUUCGUUGGAUGUGUGGGCACACGAGAAAGGAUAAGAUUAGGAAUGAGGAUAUCCGGGGUAAAGUAGGAGUAGCCGAAAUUGAAGGAAAGAUGAGAGAAAAUCGGUUACGAUGGUUUGGACAUGUGCAAAGAAGGCCUACUGACGCUCCGAUUAGAAGAUGCGACUAUGGGACAGAGGUUCAGGGCCGAAGGGGUAGAGGAAGACCUAGGAAAACUUUGGAAGAGACCCUAAGAAAAGACUUAGAGUACUUGGAUCUAACGGAGGACAUGACACAGGACAGAACACAAUGGCGUUCUAAGAUUCAUAUAGUCGAUCCCACUCAGUGACUUGGAUUUUCCAAGUCUCCAACCGAGAAGUUUUCCUCACUCGGGAAAUUAAGGGAACACUACCUCAACCUACAUGCUCCACUCAUAAAGCUUCAACAUACAAACUUCAACAAAAGAAAAUUCAAAGAACUUAGCGAAGAAGGCUUUGGUGUAUUUAACACAAUACGUUGAAAUGAAGGAAAACUUAUUUAUUGAUAUCCCUGAUAAGUUACAAAUAUGUACAUAUACAUGAGUCAAAAUAAACAAACAAGAGGGAGCCUUCACAAAUGUUGUUUAGGAGAAGUCUUAGCAGUCGGUAGAGCCCCAGAAAGAGAAGGCACCGGACGGGGAUCAUUCGGAGCCUCAGUACUGGACAGAACCCUAGAAGGAGGAGGCAUCAGAGGUUGAUCAUUUGGAGCUUCAUUACGCGGUACAACCCCAGAAGACGAAGGCAAUAAAUGCCUUUGGAACAAACCCACAAAUCUCUGAUGAUCAAGUAAAACCUGACCAUCAGAUUCCUUCAUCUGGUCAAGCUUCCUCUUCAUGUUUGUAGCAUAGUCAUGUGCGAGCCGGUGCAACUGUUUAUUCUCAUGCUUGAGCCCUCUAAUCUCCUGUUUGAGACUCAUCACUUCAGCCGCCAAUGAUUCAACUUGGCGGGUUCGAGCAAAUAGGCGUUGGACCAUAUUAGACACAGAACCUGCACACUGAACACUGAGAGCCAGAGAAUCCUUAACAGCCAACUCAUCAGACCGUUUGGAAAGUAGUCUGUUAUCUUUGGGAGUGAGAAGGUUCCUGGCCACUACCGCAGCGGUCAUAUCAUUCUUCAUCACGGAAUCCCCAACGGUAAGAGAACCAGUAGGGGAGACGAAUGAUGGGCGUCAUAUGUUGUCUGGAGAAGGCGGGGCUGUCUCUUCAACAAGGUUCAAGUCAAAACGACGGUCGGAGGGGCCAGACAUUUUCAAAGGUGUUGAAGAGAGAAGAGGUCGGACAAAUCAAGAUCUUAGAAGUGCAAGAAUGAAGCUUCUACUGGUGGAGAUUCAAGUGUGCUUUGGAACUUAAUGCCAGCCCCUAUAAAAAUCUGCACUCGACGAAGCUUCAGAAAUCGAAGAGGCGCCUGCUCAGAAAUCGAAGAGGCGUUUGCUUUCUCAAAAGCUGGGCUGCUCAGAGACCACGAGGGUCGAUCUCAGAAAUCGAAGAGGCGUUUGCUUUCUCAAAAGCUGGGCUGCUCAAAGACCACGAAGGCCGAUCUCAGAAAUCGAAGAGGCUUGCUUUCUCAAAAGCUGGGCUGCUCAGAGACCACGAGGGCCGAUUUCAGAAAUCGAAGAGGCACAUACUUUUCCAGCCUUGUCAGCACCUGCCACACGCACACUCAGCUUUGCGGAAAUUAUGGGCAUUCUGUCGAAGAUUUCUGGUGAAGUAGAAAACACAUGAAUCGUACUGUUCAAUCACCCACUUCCCACACGCAACAGUAGCUCAUGGGUACCACAUAUAACUUUGCCAAAGUUAUCUGACAAAGUUGAGACACGUGAAGCUUGCAGCUCUCACUACAUCGCUCUGACCAAGAAGGGUAAAAGAAUAGCAAAGAAACAACACUAACAAAGUUUAGACACAUAAAUUUUGAAGGUCUAGCUACCAUAUUAUUACCCAUAAGGGUAAAGGAACAGUACCACUGCUGGAUAAUUGGAAGGUCCCGGUGUGUCAACCUCUGUACUUCGUGGCAAGGUAGACUAGCAAACAUGCCCAACCUUUACUCACAUUCAAGAAAACACUCCCAACAAGAUUGCUUGCUCCAAAAUCGAAGAGGCACCGCUUUCCGAAUCUUGAGAGCCAGACUCCCAACAUGAUUACUUUCUAAAAAAUCGAAGAGAGGGUAAAGGAACAGUAACACUGCUGGAUAAUUGGAAAGUCCCUGUGUGUCAACCUAUGUGCUUCGUGGCAAGGUAGACUAGCAAACAUGCCCAACCUUUACUCACAUUCGAGAAAACACUCACAACAAGAUUGCUUGCUCCAAAAUCGAAGAGGCAUCGCCCUCCGAAUCUCGAGAGCCAGACUCCCAACAUGAUUACUUUCUCAAAAAUUGAAGAGAGGGUAAAGGAACAGUACCACUGCUGGAUAAUUGGAAAGUCCCUGUGUGUCAACCUCUGUGCUUCGUGGCAAUGUAGACUAGCAAACAUGCCAAACCUUUACUCACAUUCGAGAAAACACUCCCAACAAGAUUGCUUGCUCCAAAAUCGAAGAGGCACCGCCCUCCGAAUCUCGAGAGCCAGACUCCCAACAUGAUUACUUUCUCAAAAAUCGAAGAGACACCGCUCUCCGAAUCUCGAGAGCCAGACCCCCAACAGGAUUGCUUUCUCAAAAAUCGAAGAGGCAUCGUUCCCCGAAUCUCGAGAGCCAGAUCCCUGACAGGAUUGCUUGUUCGAAAACCGAAGAGGCACCACUUUCCCAACUUCAAGAGCUGGAUCUCCUUGGAUAAAGCUUGUCUGUAAUCUUCACACGCAACAUCAGCUUUCCAGAGACCACAGACCACUUUUUCAAAGUGCUCCGACAGAGUUAAAACAUGUGAAGCUGGCAGCUCCCACUACCGUGCUAUGACCAAGCAGGGUAAAGGAAUAGCAUUAUUACUUGAUGUUAGUGAGACUCCUAUAUAUGUCGACCUCCAUCCCCAACGGACAGGCAGACCUGCAAAAAUGCUCAACCAUUCCUCUUAUAUGAGAGGGCACUCCCAACGAAGCCUUUCGAAAUAUUCAACUUUCUUUCCCCUCGAUAAUACCUCUGCAAACAAGCUAUACUAGAGCAAGAAUAUCUCAUAUCAUCAGGGUUAAAAGCAAGAGUAUCCCAUAUCAUGCUUUUUCCCUGUCUUUUCCUUUGGCCUUGUUCUUACCUGCAAGACAAGGAGAAAGAGAGCAAUCAGUCAGCACUUGGAAUCAAGCUUCCAACCAGGAAUUGAUUGCCUAGAACCCCUUACCUGAGUACUUACCUGGCAUUGCUCUCGAGUACUCAUCUUCAACAUCUUAUGCUUCCAGGGAAGAUACCGCAUCUGCCUAAGGAACAGAUAGGUCAAGUGAGAAGGAUACAAAGAAGCAUGUGGAGACAAGCGUAACAGCACACGUGCCGAUACAUCCACUACUCUGUCAAAAGCAAAAGUAUCCCAUAUCAGCAGGGUCGAACGUACUCUAGAUUUGAUGGACUUGUUUUGACCCUCAAAUUCUUCAGUCGGCCUUAUACUCUGGAGGAAACCAGAAAACCCUCAAGCCCAGUUCAAGAAUAAGCCUGUGGAAAGUUACUUCUUCAAAAGCAAAAGUAUCCCAUAUCAUCUCUUCUCAUUUUUCUUCUCUUUAUCCUUCCUGCUGCCUGCAAGAUAGGGAGAAUGUGAACAAUCAGCCGGAGCUCUGAUUUCUUACCUUGUCUGUCACAUCUUUUAGCAGAUCCCCUAGCCCGGCGACUUGGGGGACUCCUACUACAUGGUUUGUAUCGUGCUUGACCAAGCCUGAAACUACAAGUAAGCUUCAAGUGAAAUUGAUACAUUACCUUGUGCAUCUCCACCAGUUAAAGAUACCACCCCUGGAUGGAGGAAGAGUACUUCCAGAGAAGAUGUCACAUCUACCUAUGAGACAGAUAAGGCAAGUCAAGACGAUACCACACUCCGGUACUUAGAAGUUUUGUGAUUACGAGAUCAUUUUCCCACAAUAUUUCCUAAUGUCAUUUGUACUAAAUCAUUCACUUGUACUCACUAAAGGAGAGCUUGAACCUAUGUACUUGUGUAAACCCUUCACAAUUAAUGAGAACUCCUCUAUUCCGUGGACGUAGCCAAUCUGGGUGAACCACGUACAUCUUGUGUUUGCUUUCCUAUCUCUAUCCAUUUAUAUACUUAUCCACACUAAUGACCGGAGCAAUCUAGCGAAGAUCACAAAAAGCGACCGUUUUCGCUACCUAGGAUCUAUCUUGCAAGAGAAUGGAGAAUUAGAUGGAGAUCUCAACCAUAGAUUACAAGCUGGAUGGAUGAAGUGUAAGAGUGCAUCCGGCAUGUUGUGUGACCGUCGUAGGCCACUGAAGCUCAAGGGAAAAUUUUAUAGGACGACAAUAAGGGCAGCGAUGUUGUAUGGCACCGAAUGUUGGGCGGUGAAGCAUCAACACAUACACAAAAUGGGUGUAGCGGAGAUGAGGAUGCUUCGUGGGAUGUGUGGGCACACGAGAAAGGAUAAGAUUGGGAAUGAGGAUAUCCGAGGUAAAGUAGGAGUAGUCGAAAUUGAAGGAAAUAUGAGAGAAAAUCGGUUCCGGUGGUUUGGACAUGUGCAAAGAAGGCCUACUGACGCUCCGGUUCGAAAAUGUGACUACGGGACAGAGGUUCAGGGCCGAAGGGGUAGAGGAAGACCUAGGAAAACUUUGGAAGAGACCCUAAGAAAAGACUUGAGUACUUGGAUCUAACGGAGGACAUGACACAAAACCGAGCGCAAUGACGUUCUAGGAUUCAUAUAGCCGACCCCACUUAGUGGGAAAAGGCUUUGUUGUUGUUGUUGUUGUUGUUGUUGUGUUUAGUUUGCGGAUCUAUUUUCUAUAAAAAAAAUUGGUGAUAAUUGAUUUUGAGGUUGUGUUGUAUAUGGAUUUUUAGUGUGGGUAUAUGAUUUGGUUUUUUUAUUUUGAGGAAGCAGUGGCCAUCGUUUUUUACCGCUUAUAUAUAUAUUAUUCCAGAAGCUUGAGGUAUAAAAUCUUGAAAUUGCUCACCUUAAAUAGACAGCGGCGUGCAUAUGUAGUUUAUCAUCGAAUAAUCAACCUCUCAUCACUAAAUUAACGUUUAAGUUUGUUUUUAAUUUAGUUCACAAAUGAAUCAACCAAGUUUUCAUGCCAUAUUGAUACGAAAUUAUAAAGAAAUGUCGAUCAUAUUUUGUUUGUUUGUUUUCCUUCUUUUGAGAUCUAUUAUUCAUAUAUAUCAUAGAUGAUGAAGAAUAAAAGAAAUUAAAUGCCGCUUUGGAUGAUAAGUUGAUGUUGAUGACAAGUACUAUUGAUGAUACCCACUAUUUCUCAUCUGUUCUAAUGCUGCAGGUAUGUAUAUUAUGUAACAAGUUCUCUAUCAGUUUGUUAAUAUCCAUAACCAAUACAGGUUUUCAAACACUUACACAGGUUUGUAUUUCAGUGAAAAAAUUGUAGGAAAAACAAAAGGAGGUUGAGCCUAUCUACAUAGUGAGUCGAAAGAAAAAUUAAACUCAACAACUAGAGAAUGAGAAUGGUUUGAUGAAAAAUAGGAAAUGAACACAUAUAAGGUAAUGUCACAAGGUGAGAUUUCAGUAUGAAUUUUUCAUUGUCAUACUAAUUAAUGCUUUUAAACCAAUCGGUAUAGAUUCUAUUUUUAGUUUCUUUUGCUUGAUCAAUUUACAUUCCUUUUUUAACCAAAUGCAAGUUCCAAUAUUGCAUUGAUGACAAAUAAAUUAAUUGAGAUUGAAGCUUUCUCUGAUUGAGAAAUCUCUUUUUGUUUAAAUAGUGUUACAAUUUUGUCUUUAUUUUUUUUCCCAAGAGGUGGACUUAAAAAGGAUAAAGUAUGCAAGGGAAUGGUAGGAUCAACAUAUCAAAGGUAGACAUCGAUUUUUUCUCUCAUGUUAAACUUAUAUUGUGAUGUUUAUUAUUAUUAAAUUUUGAAAAAAAAAAAUUGCUUAUCAUAACCUUAUCACAAUACUAAAUAACAGGGAGAGAGAUGAAAAAUAGAGGUAACUAUUUGAUUGUAUGCUUACUUUGGAGAUUUUGUGUAAGAUCCCACAUACUUAUAUGUAUAUUCCCAUCUCUACCUAGCACGAGGCUUUUUGGGAGCUCACUGGCUUCGGGUUCCAUCGGAACUCCGAAGUUAAGCGAGAAGGGGGCUAGAGCACUCCCAUGAUGGGUGACCCACUGGGAAGUUGUUCGUGAGUUCCCAGAAACAAAACCGUGAGGGCCUGGUUCCCGGCCAGGGCCCCACCACAACCUGGGCCCGCUCUACCACCGUAGCACGAUAUUGUCCGUUUUGGGCCCCAACCAUGCCUUCACGGUUUUGUUUCUGGAAACUCACGAUCAACUUCCCAAUGGAUCACCCAUCAUGGGAGUGCUCUAGCCCCUUUCUCGCUUAACUUCAGAGUUCCUAUGGAAUCUGAAGCCAGUGAGCUCCUAAAAGGCCUUAUGCUAGAUAGGAAUGAGAAUAUACAUUUAAGGAUCACUCACCUGGGCGAUGUGGGAUGUCACAAUCCACCCCCUUUAGGGACCCGAUGUCCUCGUCGGCACACUUCCGGCCAGGGAUAGGCUCUGCUACCAAUUGUCACAUCCCGGCUCGGGCCCCCACCACAACCUGGGCCCGCUCCACCAUCGUAGCACGAUAUUGUCCGCUUUGGGCCCCAACCACACCUUCACGGUUUUGUUUCUGGGAACUCACGAGCAACUUCCCAGUGGGUCACCCAUCAUGUGAGUGCUCUAGCCCCCUUCUCGCUUAACUUCGAAGUUUCUACAGAACCCGAAGCCAGUGAGCUCCCAAAAGGCCUCGUGCUAGGUAGGGAUGAGAAUAUACAUUUAAGGAUCACUCAUCUGGACGAUGUGGGAUGUCACACAAUUGACUAAGAAUUUGUUAAAUCAUUUUAACAUGUAUUAUAAUAAGAUAUUUACUUUUUAUGAUACAUUUCUAAUUUUUGCAAAUUACUUGAUUUACUAUUGUUAUAUGGUUUACAGAUUUUUAUGUUAAGUGUGUCACUAUAUUGUUGUAAUAGUUAAAUUGGAUGUAAUAUGAAGUGUUGAGAUAAAACUAGGCACAACUAAUUAUCUUUCACUUCUUGAGAUACAGUCAUUGUUUGAUUUAGCCUAUAACUGAUAAAUCUUUAAUUAUAAUUGGUUUUUUUAGUUUACCUGGAUCAGAACUGAUAACCGUAUAAAAGGGCAGUAAAAAUUAAAGUCUGCCUGUUCUGAUGACAACUGAUAAAUAUACAGUUCUGCACUGUAUACUGGUUGAUGAAAAGGUGAGCAAUCAUUACUUAAUGAUCUUAAGUAAUAACUACUUAGUAUUGCUCAUUGAAAAUUUAUUAAUUGUUUCAAUGCAUAUGAUCUAACAUUUCUGCUUUCUGUAAUAAACACUAUUUAUGAUCUUUAUUUUUUUGGUCAAAAACACUAUUUGGGAUCUGUUUGUCAUCUUUAGACAUUGCUUGAUUUUGUAUUGUCAAAUGAUAUAUAUUUUCAUAAUCACUGUGUCUGUAUAGUAUAUGGAUUAUAUAUAUAUAUAUAUAUAUAUAUAUAUAUAUAUAUAUAUAAUAUUAAGUGUUCUAUUCUUUGUAUUAGAUCUUUUUAUACUUAAACAACUUUUUUUAAGUGUUAAUUAAAAUGAUUAAUUGAUAGUUACUGUUUGCCUAUGCAUAUUCUUGCGUAGUAUUUACUAUGCACAUGCAUAUUCAUGUUAUACUAUAUGUAAUGGUCACUGUUAUUCACUUAUUCACUUGAUAUUUAACAAUAUUUUUUUCUUGCAUUUUUUCCCAUGCUGAAUUGUCAAGCGACAAUCAAUAUAAACUUAUAUGAAUUUUGUUUCUUCAUUGUUAAUUUACUGAUGCUAGGGAUAAUUUAAGCUUCUACAUUCUUAACAUUUUUCAUAUUUGACUUGCAGGAUUAGUGUCAAUGUACACAUUUUUGCAACUAUUUGUUCUGUCUUUCUCCCUCACUCUGUAUAAUUUUAGUCAAAUUGAACUACUCUUUAAAACUUGAGAUUUAACUAAAGUACUUAGAACUUAGUUAAAUGAAAGUUUACUUCGGUUUGAUGACAUUUACAUGAUUAUUAGGUUCACAAUCAUUGGAUGCAUUAUCUUUUAUAUGUUUUAAUCAUAAUGUCAUAAAAUUUUCGAUCCCGCAACAACGCGCAGGUCACACUUCCCGCAGCAACGCACGGGUUAUGCUUUCCAGUAGUAACUAAAGUCUGCUUAGUAGGCCUCCAAGAAAUUGUGGUUUCACCAACAAUACCCGUUUAGGAUAUUGCCAUGCGGGGAUCAAAUAAGUACCCAGCAUCAACAUAACCAACAAAGGAAACUCGAGAACUGGGUGGAGGGGGUGAGGAAGGGACGGUUGCACUCGAAUUUGAGUAGGGAUAUGACAAGUCCAAGUCUCACAGUACCAUUAAGAUAACAUAGAAUUUAUGUAACACCUUUCAAUGUCUGCGUGUUGGCACAUGAUUGAGAUUUAUAAUGCAGGAGAUGUUAGGUCUUCUACACUGAGAUAAGUACAGCAAAGUACCAAUUGCAAUUAAGUAUGGAACCUCGGGUUCUUAAACCUCUUCAUCAUCUAUCUUUGGAUGGUAUAGGUCUCGUUGUGCAUCAAGCGUACGGAUGACCAUGAGUGUACUCAAAGGUAAUGCUUUAUCAUUAAAGCAAUGUAACACCAUCUUGGUGUAGUUUGACUAAUGGACAAGAAUGUUGGAUUGUGAACUAUCUUAGUACAUAUUUGUAGAAGUGUGGCGGGUGGCGUAAGCAUACAUAAUCAUUUAACAUGCAUGUUAGCGGAAUGUUGGAUUCCGUUUAAUUUAUGUAUUGGUUAUGUUCAGGUAUAAUAAAAUUAAGAACACAUGUAUAAACUUCUGAGUUUUAGAAUUCUAACCUUUAGAUUUCAUAGGCGGAUGCAUUCAAUAUUGUUAAGGCUCCAAAGUGUUACCCCUCUACCAGUAUCUACACGAAUAUAUCUCCAACUAGUGAAGCAAGAAGACGACAAUCUGCUAGAACUUUAUCCAUUAGGUAGGUGUUGCAACAAGGGGAUUUGGUAUGGUGUUUUGUUUUUCAAUUCUUUAAAUUGGAAAACCUAAUUCUUUUCUCUCUAAUUUCUAUUUCCGCUUUGUGAAUUCUCACACUAUGUUACAUAGAGCCCUUAGGCUUAAAAAGAGAACAAUUUCUAAUUAAGCCAAUAGGAUUACAGAUUAAUUCUCUACCACAAAUGUGUGUCGCACGCCUUGGGAAAAAUUUUGAGAAACUUUGGGGUUCACUAGUCUGUAUCACGUCACUCGCUCGUCUCAAGAAGAGAUUCUUUCACGUCACCAAUUUACCACACUACAAUUUUGAAUUUAUUAGAUGAAUAAUACAAUUUGUUUAAUAAAUGACCAACUUUACAAAUAUUUUUGUGAAGUGAUUUCACACAUUUUUUUAGCUUUUUUACAGACCCAUGUUUAAUUUUGGAUGUUGAUUCCGUUUGAUUUAUUCAUUCUGGUGGCCAUAAAUAAAGAGAGGUAUGUGAGAAACUAAAAAUGGUGCGUGAAAAUCCAUGACACUACUGAGCAUGAAUUUUAGUUAGAUGAAAAAAGACCUUACGCCUGACACAAGUGGGAGGACGUGACAUGAGUGCCUUUAUUCAAGGAUGAGGAAUGCUAAGGUGACUCUCAAAAGUAGGAAUCUCUGUCACCUCAUAGCUAGUUUAACGUCAAUUCAUUCAUGUGCCAGCAUUAUAAGACUAAUGUUAGGAAGACUACAUUUGUAGACAAAAUUUAUAAACUAAAUGACAUGGAAGCAGAUGAGUAGAUUAUUACUUAAGCGUUGAUAAAUGUGCUCAUUUCAUAUUGGUGACACGCCAUUUAGUUUGAAUUUUUUUUUCCACAAAUUUAGUCUAUCUAGCAUUACCCGCAUUAUAAGGUAUUGUGGUAAACAUAUGAGGUGACGGAGAGUUCAUAGAGAGUCUCAUUAGUAUUUCUCUUCAAGAAUUUAACCUCAUUCUCCCCACUUAAUAAUUUCACCAAAAAUGUUUUCUAAAUGCUCGCUUAUCAGGAUUAAGCCUCUGUUUGGUAUUGUUUUUUUUUCAUCAAAAGUUGCUUCACUUUAAAGUUAAGCAAUAAAAAUGUGUUUGGUAAAAAUAAAUUAUUUUGCUUAUAUUAAAAGUAAUGCAUGGCCUCCAGACAACAGCUUUUAAAAGCAGCAUGCAGGUAAAACUGCUUUAAUAAAAAGCUGAGUUGAGCCUUUAAUGAAUAUUUUUACUUCUUGUAAUACGCUCAAUAAUUUUUUCUUUUAAAAAAUAACAUUAUUUAUUCUUGUAGGCACAUUUUAUCAUUGGAGAACAAAGUGACCACCACUAUAAACCCUAACCUCUUACAUUACCAUUGCCAUGAUCACCACCAUUGUUGCCAUGACCACCACACUACAAUUGCACCACGACCACCACUAUAAACCCUAACCUCUUACACUACCAUUGCCAUGAUCACCACCACUGUUACCACCACCACACUUCAAUUGCGCCACGACCACCACAACCAUACGCACCACCACUACCAUUGCUAUUGUUACCACCAUGCCACUACCGCCACCACCACCACCAUAAAUACAACAACCGCUACCACUACUACCACAACCACCACCAUCGUUGUUAUCACCACCCCUACCACCAAUGUUGCCUCUGUAGCCCAACCACCACACCUCUUUAUUGGCACCAUGACCACGACCACGACCAUCACCACAACCCUACCAUCACAACCCCUUGCCCUUAUCAUUAUUGUCAUCGUCACCACCAACAUUGUUACGUUUAUUUUUGUCAUUAUAUACAAUUAUAAAAUAUCAAACGCUUUUACACUAUUUUUCAUAUUCACAACACUUUUAAAAAUACAGUUCAUCAAGCACUCAACUGCUUUAUUUUGUAGCAAAUUAUUCUUAAAGCACAUCAGAAGCAGUUUUUUAAAAAGCACAUCAAUCUCAAAAUGGCCGUAAUAUUAUGAGUUUUUUUAAUUGAGGUAAAUAUAUUAUGUAUUUGACCAAAACGAUUUUAAAUAAUUUGUAAUAAGAUGACGCGAAAAAAGAGCAGAAAUGCAACACAUGAAAUAAAACCAAAGCAAAGAGAUUUGAGGUUGAUUUUCAUUCCUUACAACAUUUUUAAAACAUUUCAAUUUCAUACCUUUACUUAUCAUUUUAUUUCAAUUUCAUACAUCCGUUAGAAAAUAUGUUAAGUAAACCGUUAAGUGAUGACGUGGCAAAUAUAAGGUCCCCAUUUGUGUUGAUGUGGCUGCCACAUUUGUGCCAUGUAGCUAAAAACUGAAUAAUUUUUUUUUAAAAAUAAUUAUUUAAAAAAAGUUAUAAAAAAAAAACACAGAUCCCCCUUCUUCCCCCGAAUCCCCACCCAUGCCCACCCUCCCAACCCCCAGCACCCACCCGGGCCACCCCUUCCUCCAUCCCACAUCACCAACAACCACUUACCUCCCCACUGCGCCUCCAUCUCCGACGAGAGCCUUCCUGCCGAGCUCUUCCCCCAGUACACCGGUAAAACUCGUCGGCAAAGUAGCUCCGUGUCGGAGCUUGUCGAAUCGACGUUUGUGGUUCAUUUUUCUCCAAACUGACGUCAUAGAUGAGUUCAAAGGGAAAGAGACUUUAAUGGCAAAGGGAAAGAAACUUUAAUGGCGGUGUUGGUGGUCUGAAAUUCGUCAGAGAUGGUGGUGGUCUUUAUCGACCCGAUCGAUCGAGGUUUUCUUCGAGUGAGGGAGAAUGUCGAGAGAGAAUGAGAUAGUUGGGGAAGAUAGUGGUGCGAGAGAAAUAGUGUUCGGGGUGAGAGAAAGGGUGGGGGAUGGGGAAAAGGGUGGGGGAUGGGGAAAGGGGUGGGUGAUGAAGGGUGGGGAUUCCGGGGAAGAAGGGGAUAUGUUUUUUUUCUUUUCGUUUUUUGUUUUUAACCUUUCUUUAUAUAACUAUUUUAAUAUUUUAAAUAUUUUAUUAAGUUUUUUUUACAUGUGGUACAAAUGUGGCAGCCAUGUCAGCACAAAUGGGGACACCAUAUUUGCCACGUCAUCACUUAAUGGUUUACUUAACAGAUUUUCUAACGGAGGUAUGAAAUUAAAAUAAAAUGAUAAAUAAAUGUAUGAAAUUGAAAUGUUUUAAAGAUUUUGUAAAGAAUUGAAAUCGACCUUAAACUUGAAAAGGUAAAAUGUAAUUUACCCUAUAUUUUUUGUUGGUUUAUCAUUUUCACCAAGCUUCACCUCAUCAAUACUUAAAGAAAUGUAUUAUGUUCUGAUCUAGAAACCAAGCUCCGCCUCAUCAAUACUUGAAUAAUUUGAUGCAUCAUGCAUUACUUUUGUUUCCUUUUGAAGGCCCAAACAAGAAACAAAGCAACACAAGACAAAGACAAUUACCGUUUAAUGGGUGUUUUAGAAACUCAAAAGCUUCAAUUUGUUUUGAGAAUCCAUUUGUUUGGAAUAAUGCUUGGGAGACUAAAAUUUUUAAAUUAAAUGAUGUGUCACCAAUUUUAACUUCCUCUUUUACUGUUAUACAAGCGAAAACGAGAGAGAUUUAAUAUGAGUAAAGGGAUACUUUACUUCUUGAGAUACAAGUUUAUUGUUAUAAUUUAGCAAGGUUUCUUCUAAGGAUCUUGGCUUUCUUUAUCUGUAAAAAAGUUGGGGUUUUGGUUGUUUAAUUAUUUUCUACCAGAAUUGCAAGAUAAAAAGGGAUACAAAGGAGAAGUGACAUAUGUAUAUGUAUAUAUAUAUAUAUAUAUAUAUAUAUGUUUUUUUGUCUCUUAUCAAUUAGGGUUUCUACAAUUCUUGUCGGAUUCUUUACCUAAGUUUUUAUUUGUCAGAUUAGUCACGAAAGUUCACUGUCAAAUUAAAUGAAAGGUAAUGAAAGUAGAAAACAGAAAACAAAUUAUCGGAGUUGACUGCUGGUAUGAUGAAUUAGUUGAAUAUCAUAGUGCACAAUGAACAAGACUACACAAUAAUAAAAAUAUUAUUAAAUAAACAAGAACACUGAAACGACUACAUAACACUAAGAAGCUACAUUGUGACUAACUUAUUCACGAUUGAAUAAAAAACAUGCUAUUUAUAAUAAACUAGUCCUAACUCUAAAAGGUAAUAAACCAAAACCUUAAUGCUAAUGGGCUAAACCCAGAAAACCAAAUAUUAAAGUAAACUUAAAUAUUAAUGUUUUCCAACACCUUCCGUCAAACUAAUGGCGGUAUACGACAUGAGUUUGCAAACAAGCAGUUGCGGACUGGCUCUGUUAGGCGGGCAUACAGGCAGGCUCCUCAACACGAACAGACAGGCAAGCUCUGCAACGCGGACAAACAAGCUCCGCAACCCCGCGGACAGAAAAAAGCAACAAUCCCAAAAGUGAUUCCAAAAAUCAAACCGAUAAUAUAGAUUGCAAGCUUUGUCUUGAAGCCAACAUUUCCAAAUUGAUGGUUCCAAAGUGUUGACAAAAGCACUGGUGCUAGUGUCACUGAAGCAACUGCAUAUGGCUUACACCAUCUUUCUUCACAAACAACAGGAAUAGUCAAUCUCCUAGGCAGAUAAAGCGGAGCUCAAGUAUGAAAAUCAGCGUGCGAAAAAAAGCCGAUGAUCUAAGAUUGGAGCAGCAUUUCUUGACUUCUACUACUUCAGAACUGCCUUGUGCAGCUCCUUCCUCUGCAGCACUGAGAUCUUCCUCUUCAAUGCUGAUAAGAAUUGGCACAGUCAAGUCACUCUCAUUGCUCGAAUUACGGCUCAAUUCAACGCUUUUCUUCCAAUGUGUGUGUGAGACGUAAACCACAAUCACAUAAGCAAUAUAGAGUGAAGAGAGAGCCAUUGCAGCCCACACAUCUAUUUCCUUGUGAAUCAAGAUAACACCCAAACAUACAAUGACCAAAAGGUAGAAGCAAAUAUCUCUCACAAAGUCCGCUUUGUGAACUCGAAUGCGCCUUUUGCUCAUUGAAAUGCUUAAGAUUCCAACCACAGCACAAGACACAAAGGAAGCACCCCCCAGAACUGUAUUAAGACCAAUUUCGCCAGUCCCGCCACCCAUAAACGAAACAAGACUGGAAAACACAUCAGGGGCUCCAUUGCCAAGAGAAAGCAGAGUUACCCCAGCAAUUGUGGGGGACAAUUUUAACAACCUAGAUAAACUAUCAAGUGAAGAACAUAAGUACUCAGAAGCUGUGUUCCCCAACACAUAGAACAAAACCAGAAGCCAAAGAAACAUACAGCAAUAACCCAAUUGAGGAAAAGUUCCAAAAUUGCAGUAGAAAAUGUUUAGAUAGUUUAUAUAGCCUUGGGAGACACAUGGGUUGUUGGAUUUAAGGUAAAAGCACUUUGCUUUGUAGUCAUCUAAACUAAGAAAACCCUUGCAAUCUAGUGAACCAGAAAUUCUGGAAACCCCAGAAGUGCUUAGAACCAGAAAAUCUGGAGCAUAGGAAUGUACAACCAAGAAAGCGCAUCCCACUAUCAGAAACGAGAUGUUCAGGAAAAUUAUGUAGUUUUUGUACUUUGGUAAGAAAACUAAGGUACCCAUUAGAGAAAUUCAAUCUAAUCUAAUUUUUUUUAAAGUAGAGAAAUUGAUUGAAAUUGAAUUUACCUUUAUGAUUGUGCUCCAGAGCAAUUGGAGAAGAUAAUGAAAAUCCAAAAAUGUAGGGUAGAAAUUGAGGAAAAUUACAAAAAUAUAAAGGGGUAGAAAUUGAAAUGGAUGGAGGGUUUUUUUAAUUUGGUAAAGCUGGAUGAUUAAGAGCACCUCCAGCGGGGGAGGUUGCUCGGGGGCUGUGGAUCAAACAGUAGCAAAUUGAUGGGGGGAUGAGCUCCAGCGUAUGGAAGCCCGAGCAACAGGCGAGGCCCGAGGAGCAGGCCCGUCGAGGAUUGCCAGCCCGAGAGCCCGAGGGCUGCGUCAGGCGCGUGCGUUUCACGCGCGCGUGGGCGCGAGUCGUCGGACAAAAAAACAGGGCUGGGGCCCGCGAUUUCAGUUUUGAAAAGUAACCGUUGGGGAAGCCACGUGGCUUCCCCAUGUCUGUUCGAUUGAAACGGUCAUAUUUUAUGGACCGUUGGAUUUCCAACGGUAAAAAACAUUUAAAAAUCUCAUUUAAUUUCAUCCGUUUGAUCUAAGAUCAACGGUUCACGUUAUUAGGCUUUGUAAAUUAUAUAAAAAAAAAGAAAAACUGUUUAAAAAUCUAAAAUGUUACCGUUGUGACACGUGGCACAAUCUGGAGUGUUGGAAUUUAAAUUUUUUUAAAUCCAACGGCAAAGAUUAAUUAGGUGAAUAAAAAUUAAAAAAAAAUGUAAAAAAAUUCUUAAAAAUCCGAAAAAAAUUAUGAAAAAUUAUAAAAAAUUUUGAUUUCACUUCACCUAUAAAUACCUUCUCAUUAUCUUCUACCCUACACCACAAUUUCAUAUUUUCUCAACUACUUUCAACCACAUUCCUAUCUUUCUUUCAAAGUUUCAAUCCAAUUUUUUUCCAACAAAAUGACUACUCAACCAGGUACGAAUUGGACGCUUCUUGAAGAUGUUGCGUUGUGUACUAGUUGGGUUCAAGUUACUCAUGAUUCGAUUACGGGUAAUGAGAUGCAGUUGCGAGAAAUGUGGAGUCUUAUUCAUACCAAUUAUCUUGAGAAAAUGGGUGGGCAAAGAACUAAAGAAUCGAUGUCCAGUCGUUGGAAAUUACUUAGUCAAUCGUUUAGUACGUUGAGAGACGCCUUGGCACAAGCUAGUGGUAAUCUUCGAAGUGGGGAAAAUUUAACGGAUCAGGUAACAAUAUAUUAUUUAUUUGUUAGCUACUUUCAUUAUAUUUAUUUGUUUGUAUUAUUUAUUUGUUAUCUUCUUUCAUUAUAAUUAUUUGUUAGCUACUUUCAUUAUAUUUAUUUGUUUGUAUUAUUUGUUACCUACUUUCAUUAUAAUUAUUUGUUAGCUACUUUCAUUAUAAUUAUUUUGUAUUAUUUAUUGUUACCUACUUUCAUUAUAAUUAUUUGUUAGCUACUUUCAUUAUAUUUAUUUUUGUAUUUUUUACCUACUUUCAUUAUAAUUAUUUGUUAGCUACUUUCAUUAUAAUUAUUUGUUAGCUACUUUCAUUAUAAUUAUUUUUGUAUAUUAUUUGUUACCUACUUUCAUUAUAAUUAUUUGUUAGCUACUUUCAUUUAUAAUUAUUUGUUUGUAUUAUUAUUAUUUGUUACAUACUUUCAUUAUAAUUAUUUAUUUGUUACCUAUUCUCAUUAUAAUUAUUUGUUUGUGUAGGAACUUCAAGCACAAGCUUGGUAUGGUGCCAAAACCAAAAGCAAAAAACAAAACAUUCACCCGGUUUGAAUGUUGGAAUAUUGUCAAAGAUUGUCCUAAAUUUAGAGUUGUGCAUGUCGGUCCAGAAGUUUUCAUGAAACAGCACCCCUCUACACUCUACACCUGAGCAUGCCUCGCAUGAUCAUGAUAAAGAUGAUGAAGAAGUGCCUGAAACGCCCCCCGUUGAACAAGCGUCGGGGUCGACCCGUUAUCCAAUUAGGCCUCAAGGUAAGAAGGCUUCAAAGAGAAAAGGUAAUGCUUCCAAGAAUGAUUAUGCAAAGUAUAUGGAAGAUCUUGCCCGCCAAGGUGAAUUGAAUUUGGCCCGGGAAAUGGCUAAAUUUGAGGCUGAUAAGGCUAGAGAGGAUGCAAAAGCUGCAGCUUUUGAGAGAGAAAAUUUGAAGCUGAUGAGAGAGAAAGAGAACUACUUCGGCAAGAAAGGGAACAUAGAAGAGAAGAAAGAAUGGCUGAACGAGAUCGUGACAUUAUGAAGGAGCCUUUAGAAGGGAAGUCUCCAGACUCUAAAAUAUUUUUGGAAGUCAGAGAAAGCGGAUGUGGUGCGAAGGAUGCGUGCAAGAGAAGCGAGAGCAAGAGGAGAUGGUCCUAGCACCACAAGAGAAGAUUAUCCUAGCAUGACAAGAGAAGAUCAUCCUAGCACCACAAAUUGGUUAGGUGAUGGUUAUCAUCCAUUCACAAACCCAUAAUUUUCCAAUCAAUUCGGGUUGUAAUUUCUUAUUCGGGUUGUAAUUUCUUAUUCAUUGAAUAGAGUACUUUAUGUUGUUUCCAAUUUAUUGAACUUAGUACUUUAUUCAAAACACAUUUAAACACACCAAAUAAAAUAACAUCAACACACCAAAAAAACACACCAAAUAAAAACAAACACCAAAUAAAAUAAAAUUACAUUUCAACUCACUAAAUGAACUAAAAAACACACCACAUAAAAUAAAAAUAAAUACACCAAAUAAAAACAAACACCAAAUAAAAUAAAAUUACAUUUCAACUCACUAAAUGAACUAAAAAAACACACCACAUAAAAUAAAAUAAACACACCAAAAUAAAAACAAACACUAAUGAACUUAAGUAUCGUCAGCACCCCUCAAUUCCCACUGGUGCUCUAUCAAGUCAAGUUGGCGGGCAUUGUGCAUAUUUGACCUUUGAAGUGCAGUAUAUCGUUGGAUGAUCCUUUCAUUGUAACGUCCAUCCCUUUCUAAUGGCUCAUGUUGCACGGGCUCAUCGGUGGCGUCAUGAGCACAAUAUAUACGUGUUCUUGAAUUGUUCAUCGUGUCUGGCUCAUAUUCAUCAACGGCUUCAUAAUCGUACUCAUCUUCCACAAUCAUGUUGUGAAGAAUGAUGCACGUCAUCAUGAUGGAUCGAAGCGACUCUACAUCAAACAAUCUGGCAGCACCUCUGAUGAUCGCCCAGCGAGCUUGGAGGAUACCGAAACAACGCUCCACAUCCUUCCUGCACCCUUCUUGACAUCUUGCAAAGUGUUUUUCCUUUGCACUGCGCGGACGUGGCACUGUUUUGACAAAUGUUGACCACCUUGGGUAAAUGCCAUCAGCUAGGUAGUAUGGCCCGUCGUACAUACGUCCAUUGACCUCAUACGUGACUUUUGGUGCGUUUCCUUGCAGGACAUCGUUGAACACUGGGGAUUGGGCAAGGACGUUGAGGUCAUUUUGAGCUCCCGGAACCCCGAAAAAGGCGUGCCAAAUCCAUGUAUCAAAAGAUGCCACCGCCUCCAAAAUGAUACUUUUUGAUCCUUUUCUGUCCCCAUAAGCGCCUUGCCAUGCACUUGGACAGUUUUUCCAAGUCCAAUGCAUACAAUCAAUGCUUCCAAUCAUCCCUGGAAAACCUCGCAUCUCGCCUUUCUUCAGAAGCCUUUGCAAGUCCAUAUGAGUAGGUAUCCGGAGGUACUCUGCGGUGUAGAUAGAUUCGAUUGCCGAACAAAACCUCAUGAGGGACUCAAGAAUGGUUGAUUGUCCCAUCCUCGUUAUCUCGUCCACUUGGUCUGCAGCUGCUCCAUAUGCAAGCAUCCGCAAGGCAGCAGUAAUUUUUUGCUGAGGCAGGAGACCCAUAGCACCAAAAGCAUCCGGCUUUUGCACAAAGUAAGAAUCAUGGUUGCAAACAGCGCCCAUGAUUUUGUUGAACAAAUGUCGUUCCAUUCUAAAACGACGUCGGAAGUAUGUAUCAGGGAAUGCACUGUUACGGACAAAAAUAAUCGUCCAAGAGCUCCUGACCUCGUCGUUGCCUGUUUCUAUCAAUGUUUACAGCACGGUUGGGCCUGCAGAGAUAUGAGCCACAGCUUGGACGACUCGACGGGAUUGUGAGGCUCCUGCCAUUCUUGAUUCGUCAUCUCGCCGUCUACGCUCGUCAUCCUCUUCCAUCUCAUUUUGGCCCCAAUCCCCAACAUUGAACAUUCCUUGUGAUUGGUUAAACAAUUCUUCCUCUUCUUGCUCGAUUUCCCACAUCAUCUUUGAAGAAGAAGAAGAAGACAUUGUAAGAAGGAAGCAGAAACUAUGAAUAAUGAUAGGGAUUUUGGUGAAGAAGGAAGCAAAAACUAUGAAAUAAUGAUAGGGAUUUUGGCGAAGAAGGAAGCAGAAACUAUGAAUAAUGAUAGAGAUCUUGAGAAAAUUGGUGUGAGAUUUAUGAGGAUGGAUGGGGGAUUAUAUGGAGGAUUCAGAAGGGAUUAGGUUGUAGAUAAUGCCACGUGGCAUGCCGUCAUUCGUUAAAAAUCUGGUGGAAAUCUAUCCUCAAAGAUUGUAAUCGGAUUGUGACACGUGGCACGACGUGAUUGGUUAAAAAUCUUAUCAGAAAUCCAUCACCAAUAAUUGUCUUUUCAGAUAAUGACACGUGCCUUGACACAACGAUUAAAAAUCUUAUCGGAAAUCCAUCACCAAUAAUUUUCUUUGCGGAUAAUGACACGUGGCGCAACGAGAACGAUUAAAAAUCUUAUCCGAAAUAACAAAUAUAAUUAUUUUGAAUUAUUUUAUAAAUACAAAAAUUUUAUUGCUAUUGGCUUUUCGGAUAAUGACACGUGGCGCAACGAGAACGAUUAAAAAUCUUAUCCGAAAUUACAAAUAAAAUUAUUAUGUAUUAUUUUAUAAAUAAAAAAAUACUAAUAUUUUAUUGCCAAUUGCCAGGGCUAUUCAGUGCAGGGGUGGAGAUGCAAAAGGCAAUUGCCAGGGGAAUGCACUAUUUAUUAAGAGCAGUUACUGUUCACUAGGUGGAUUAAAUAGUGAAUUGCCUGGGGGGAGGACUCCUACACUGGAGUUGCUCUAAGGUUGCUGCUUUUCUUGGGGAGAGAAGUGGAAGAGACAGAGCAUUUAAAGCUUUCCUUCUGAGUUUCCACAUUGUAGGAAUACUGUCACUUCAUGCAAUGUAAGGCCAUAGAUCAUGAUGCUGACAAGUUGAGGACACGUGUCGAAAGAUGGUGCCGUUGGGGCCCACAACCGUCCAAGGGAAAAUUUCUCGAGUAAUAUCAGUUACCACGGUAUUCAAGCGGAAACAACUACACGUGUGGGAAUUUGGUGGACGUCGGCUAUCAGGGUGAGUUUAGCAUCUGAGCUGUGAAAGCAAAGAAAAAGACUUGCGUCACAAUCAAAGCUUCAAAAUCGGUCUGUCCCUCCUUGGGCAAUGCGCUUUACAUUUUUCUUACUUUCUUCAUUAUUUGUUUGUAGAUCACAUUCUUUGAGAAAUUUUUGGGUUCAUUAGUCUUUGUCAAGUCACUCGUUUAUCUUAAAAAGAAAUUUUCUUGCAUCACUAGUUUAUCAUGCUACAAUCAUAAAUUUAUUGAAUAGAUAACAACAAUAAAGUCUCAUUUCAAUAAGUGGAGUUAGCUAAAUUUAAAAUGUCACUGGACUCAGUUUUACGCCAAAUUUAUUAGACGGAUAAUACAAUUUUUCAAUCCACAUUCUCCCCCACUUGACCAUUUCAUCAACAAUGUUGUCUAAAUGCUUUUGUUUCAUUUUUCAAUUUGAUGCUAGGCCCAUGUUAGACUAAAAACAACUGCCGUACAAAAGUAAGAUAAAAGGGAUACAAAGGAGAACAUAUAUACAUACAUAUAUAUAUAUAUAUAUACACAACUGCCGUACAAAAGUAAGAUAAAAGGGAUACAAAGGAGAACAUAUAUACAUACAUAUAUAUAUAUAUAUAGAGGCCCCUUCUCAAGAGGGAUUCUAAUUUUUCAAAAAAAAUGGGAAUACCUUCUUCACCGUUAGAUUUGACUUGAAUGAAAUUCUGUGGUUGAGAUGAAAUCACAGGCCACAAAAUCUUAAUCACAAAAUUUUAUUAAAGCCAACUCUAACGGUUAAGAGGGGAUCCUCUUUUUUUUUUGAAAAAUGGGGAUCCCUCUUGGGAAGAGAUUCCUAUAUAUAUAUAUAUAUAUAUAUAUAUAUAUAUGCUAGCUUUCAUGCACGCGCUCUUUGAAUCACAACGUGCUACGCAUGACUUACACAUUUUAAAUGAAUAAUAUUAGACCAUGCUAAAAGAAAUUCUUCGUAAAUCAAUCAAAACAGCCGAAUCUACAUUAGGGGCUCCAUUGCCAAGAGAAAGCAGAGUUACCCCAGCAAAUGUGGUGGACAAUUUUAACAACCUAGAUAAACUAUCAAGUGAAGAACAUAAGUACUCAGAAGCUGUGUUCCCCAACACAUAGAACAAAACCAGAAGCCAAAGAAACAUACAGCAAUAACCCAAUUGAGAAAAAGUUCCAAAAUUGCAGUAGAAAAUGUUAAGGUGGUUUAUAUAGCCUUGGGAGACACAUGAGUUGUUGGAUUUAAGGUAAAAGCACUUUGCUUUGUAGUCAUCUAAACUAAGAAAACCCUUGCAAUCUAGUGAAUCAGAAAAUCUGGAAACCCCAGAAGUGCUUAGAAACAAAAAGUCUGAAGCAUGGGAAUGUACAACCAAGAAAGCGCAUCCCACUAACAGAAACGAGAUGUUCAAGAAAAUGACCUAAUUUUUGUACUUCGGUAAGAAAACUAAGGUACCCAUUAGAGAAAUUCAAUCCAAUUUAAAAUAUAAAAAAAGUACAGAAAUUGAUUUGAAAUUGAAUCUACCUUUAUGAUCGUGCUCCAGAGCAAUUGGAGAAGAUCAUGAAAAUCCAAAAAUUAGGGUAGAAAUUGAAAUGGAUGGAGGGUUUUGGAGUUCGGUAAAGCUUAAGGAUUAAGGUUGCUUGCCGCUUUUCUUAUUGAGAGAAGUGGAAGACACAGAGCUUCCCUUCUGUGUUUCCACAUUGUACGAAUAUUGUCACUUUAGCCAAUGUAAGGCCAUAGAUCAUGGAUGCUAACAAGAUUGAGGACACGUGUCAAAUGAUGGUGCAGUUGGGGGUCAUUACUGUCCAUGAAAAAAAAGUUCACACGGCAUUCAAGUGGAAAAAACUACACGUGGGAAUUGGAUGCAUUUUUGCUCAUCAUUAUGAACUAUGGUGUAUGCUCACCAUAUAUCUUAUCAUUUGACAUGUGUCCUUUCACUUAAUCAUAGUUAAUUUUUUUUCAAAAUUAGAAAAGGAACAUUUAAUAUUAAAGUUAAUCAUAGUUAGUUAAAAGGACACGUGUCAAAUGAUACACCAUAGUUUAUGGUGAGUAAAAAUGCUCCUCGUGGGAAUUUGGUGGACGUUGGCUGUCAGUGAGUUUGGUCGCACGAUUUACGAUAAAUGAAUAUAAUUAGAAAAUUCUUGAACUCUUCACAAAGAGGAUUCUCAUUCAUAUUUUUCUAUCUUUCUUCAAUAUUUGACCUUUUAUUUUUAUUUUUUAUAAGUUGUGGCAUAUAUUUGUCACAAAAGGUUUAAGCGAUAGCAAAAAUACAAAAAGCUGAGAAUAGAUUCCAGCACUAGGGCUGGGUUUGGUUGGCAAACCGUGCCAAUUUCUUGUGCCACUUGCCGGCCGUAUAUAUAUAAUUACCGAAAAUUAGUUACCGCUAGCCAACCGUCUUUUUGCAGUUGCUAAAAAUCAGUUCAACCGAAAUUAUUGGUUAGUUCGGUUGACAAAUGGCAACCAAUGGUUUGCAAAUAAGCUACAAAAACAACAAUUGAAGACCAUGCAUUGACCCGUAAACAACAAACCCAAAAAGAAAAAAAGAAGUUGCUGCAAUUUUUCAAUUGAUGAUAAGCCAACAUAUUCAUGACCUAACAAAUUAAAAUGAAAAUCAAAACAAAACUCAAGCCAACAACAAUGUCAGCAAACAUAAUCCAAAUAGUUAUAAGUUUCACAAACUCAAAAGUCUAACUAAUAUAAUUUUAUAAAUUCAAUUGUAGCAACUAAUGCAUAAACAAAAAACUUAAAACUCAAAAGUAUGGUUAUGGUUAUAAGAUCUCCUUAUUAUAAUCCCAAAACAAAUAACUUCUUGUUUUGAUAAUGCAUAUUCAUUGAAGUAGCAGCAAUCAAUGCAUGUGAAAUCUUUCAUGAAUCAAUUCUUUGAGGCACUUAGAAUUGAUGUUCCUGCUUGAAAUGUAGAACCAUUAACUAUUUCAGUUCAAAUGUUACAUAAAAAAAAUAUGAUUAGCUAGAAUAAGAAAUAAUAUUGAAUAAUAAAUUAAAAAUAUCAAUAAACAUUGGAUUGAAGUGCUAUAAUUAGAAUUAGAAAAAUAUAUCAAUACUUACAAUUUUCCAGUUCUUCACAUGUCAAGCAUGUAAAAAAUACCUAAAACAUCUAAAUAGAAUAUAUAUAUAUAUAUUGGUAGGUAUGGCAUUCCGCCAAUAUACAAAAUCCAAUACCAAAGCCAUACCAUUAAUUGUCGGUUUGGUAUAAUUGUCACAUCCCGGGCCGGGGCGGACCACUUUCCGGGCCCGCUCUACCAUCGUAGCACGAUAAUGUCCGCUUUAGGUCUCGGCCACACCCUUACGGUUUUGUUUCUGGGAACUCACGAGCAACUUACCAGUGGGUCACCCAUCAUGGGAGUGCUCUAGCCCCCUUCUCGCUUAACUUUGGAGUUCCUACGGAACUCAAAGCCAGUGAGCUCCCAAAAGGCCUCGUGCUAGGUAGGGAUGAGAAUAUACAUUUAAGGAUCACUUCCCUGGGCGAUGUGAGAUGUCACAAUAAUGCCAACAGAUUAUGAAAAAAAUGCAAAAAUUAUACUAUAGCAUUAUGAACUGACCGGUAUGGUUCGGUCGGUAAAUUGAUUUAUAGCAAAAUUUCCCACCCCUGUCCAGCACAAUUCAAUACUGCAAUCAGUGCUUUACAUAUCUACAUUAUUUGUUUGUAGAUCACAUUCUUUAGAUAUUUUUGGAUUAGUCUCUGUUAAGUCACUCGUUCCUCUGAGAAUAGAGGUUAUAUCGCAUCACCAGUUUAUUACGCUACAAUCAUGAACUUAUUGAAUGGAUAAUAACAACAACAACAAAGUCUUAUUCUAAUAAGUGGGGUUGACUAUAUAAACUUAAACGUCACUGCGCUCAGUUUUGCGUUUAUUAAAUGUAUACACAAUGUGUUUAAUACAUGACCAACUUUACAAAUAUUUUUGGAAAGUAACAUUCACACACUUGUUUUUUUAACUUUUUACACAUUCAUGUUUGAUUCUGACCACUAAUUAUGUAUAAUUUAUUCAAUCUAAUAGUCAUAAAUAAAAAUAAUUGAGUAAAAAACUAAAAAAAAUCCAUGACGCUACUGAGCCUGAAUUUUAAUUACAAUCCUCGUACAAGUAGGAGUGUAGGAGGAUGUGACAUAAUUGCUUUUAUUCAAUCCACAUUCUUCUCCCCCACUUGACCAUUUCAUCAACAACGUUGUCUGCCUUUGUUUCCUUUUUCAAUUUGAUGCUAGGACCAAACAAGAAACAAAGCAACACUAGACAAAAACAACUGCUGUACAAAUAAAUGAAGAUUUAGGGAAGAUAGUUUUCUUAUUAGUUAGGAUUUUUACAAUGAGUGUCGCAUUCUUUACCUAAAUAAGUUUAUAUGCUUGUCAGAUUAGUCAUGAAAACUCACUGUUAAAUUAAAUGAAUGGUAAUAAAAGCAGAAAACAUGAGGCAAAAAGUCGAAGUUAACAUUAAACUUGACAUGGAUUACCACAAUCCUACGACUACCACAUAACAAGAACACAAGGGAAACAAAAGAACAUAAAAACUAAAGUUGAGAAACAAACAAACACCCACAUUAGACAACAGACUGCAUACUUUUAUUUUAGACCACUUUUGUAGUACCCUCAAAGCUAAUUGGCAAGAUAGUUAAUCACCAUAAGUGGUAAUGCUGUCCAUAAUCUUGGCCACCACCUCCUUAGAAUCCCUCAGCUUUUUUAUGCUUUUGUUAAGCUUCUCACGCUUUACUGCCACUGCCGGCGACUCCUCCAGCAUCCUCUCGAUUCCCCCGCCGUAUGGUCCCAUCAACUCAUUCACAAUCUCAGCUUCCAACUCUUUGUUCACAAGCUUAAAGACAGACAGCUGCAAGUGCAAUGCCAUGGAGUCCACAAGCCUCCUCAAAACAACCUUCCAAUAGGCAAUCAUUCUCAUUUUAAGGUCAUAAGCUUGACCUAACACAAGCGGGUACAUCCUCAGACAACCGACUUCCACUUCCCCGAUGCCUUCUAUAUCUAUGAUAGAAGGUUUCUUCUCAUCAGCUAAGACUCCAUGAAUGAAUUCAUUUUGAUUAGCCAUCAACUUGUUCCAUUCGGAAACAUAAUCACCAUCACAUGUAUAAUCUGUCAGCUUUUCCAUCUCUACAAGCUCCAGCAUCCACUUGAUUGACCUUUCCUUCAUCUUGGCCAUUAGAUUAUGGCCGGCACGCCUUGCUGACAGCUGCAGCUGAUGAUAGUUCUCCGUAUAAUGCAUCAACACAGAAAUAACCACCUCUUCAAUGUAGCUCCACACUUUUUCCACAAAUGCUAUCGGAAUACUCGAAAUUUCAUCCACUUUUCCCUGCAAGAUACUGAGGAAAGCAUUGCGUGGAAGAAAAUUUGGAAGUGAAAUACCUUUGGCCUUCUCCAAGAUCUUGAUCUCCUUCAUCAAGAAGUUGCUCUUUGCAUCAGUUUCAGCACAUCUGUGAAGUUCAUCAGAGUACAGGUUGACCAAUCUAGCAGUGCAGUGCAUGCUGUCUUCUGCGUACUCGUCAAAUUCUCCUCUCAAAAGAAUCUUCCUAAGCGAUUCCUUAGCCAAGCCAAUGAUUUGCAUAAAGGCCGUCAUGGCCUCGGCAACAGAUGAAAGACUCUUUGGCAUUUUAUUCAGUUCCAUAAUGCAGAAGUUCAGCCUGUCAUUGAUCUUCUUCACUAUAUCGGGUAUAUUUCUUGCUAUGCUGUUUGCUUGAAUUUGGACCAGCUUCUGUGCUAAAACUGGAAUACCGACAAUGGACUUGUCAAUCUUCGAAAGCAGGGGAUGGGUUUGAAAUAGUUCAUGAGCCAUCGCCGCUGCCUCCUCAUAAGUUUCGUCACCAAUCCUGUUCCUUACACAGACAUAACCAAGACCAAUGUUUACAUCAUCUCCGGUGACCUUCUCAAGUAGUCCUUCCGGUGCCUUGUCCACUUUCGUAACCACAGCGAGCGUCCUCUCACCAGUUUUAUCUACACUUUGUGACAUCCGAAUUGACUCACACGUAGUAAAAUCCACCGUAGCAGACAAUACAUUCAGAAUAAUACUUUCUUCCGGCUUAAUAUACUCCAUGAUCAUAUCUUUGAUCUGAUCAUAAAUAUUUUCAGGUUGGCCAUGGACCGGAACCCUUGUGAUUCCCGGAAGAUCAACCAUAGUCAGAUCCGGAACCCCAUUCUUCUUCACCAACAAAUUAAGUGGCGUGUUCGAAAUUCCCUUACCUCCUCCCGCAAUAGAAUUAGUAGCUUUCACAAUAUCUUUGGCGAUAUUGUCUUCAUCAGUACGAUCAACUCUGCCAUUGUACUCCAAGGAAAGUUCAGGCUGAGGACUCGAGUGGUGUUCCAGCCUCAUAAUAAGAGGCACUCUCCUGCAGAUGCCUUGGCCCCGAGGGAGGCUGAUGCCGGCCAAGGAUUCGAGCACGCUGGACUUCCCCGAUGACUGGUCUCCGACCACCACAAUCGUUGGCAGCUGAAUGCCUUCAUCCAUCACCAUCAAGCUGCGUAACUUGUCUACCGCAUCCAGAAGAGGGCGGAUCUUGUCGUUGUAGGACGACACAAUGGGUGCGCAUUUGAGAGGUACUGCGUCUAGUUCUGCCUGAACCAUGGCGAGGGAGCCUUCACCGUUUAAAUCUGUGCAACUCGAUUCCAUUUGCCUUGGUCCUUCCGUUUCUGAAUUAUAGCAAGUGAAAAUAAUGGUGAAAAAUCUAGAGAGAAACCGAGAUAAUUUCAAGCUUAGCUAAAGAAUUGAGGUUCUCUGGCAGCUUACCCUCCAGUUGAGAACCUUUUUUUACUAAGAAUGAUUUCAGGUAAGGGAAAACACCACUUUCGUGACCCUGUAGGAAACGAAGCCUUUCCUUCCAAUGCUGCAUUUCCACAAACUCAAGAGACUCUAAUACCCCAAAAGGCAAGUUACGCUCUCCAUAAAACUCAGCACCAAUUCGAAGAUGGAGUAAAAUGUUCUGUAUUGAGUUUAUGACUUAAUGGAGUAAACUGUUCUAUUUAUAGCUACUGCUAUAUAUCAUUCUUAGCCUUUAAGCAACUUAACUGACUCUCAAUCAACAAUAACAACACAUCUAAUAAAAAUGCUACUUUAUUUGUACCAUCAUUUGCUUACACUGAUAAAUAGCACUCAUACUCAUAAGCUGACAUGGCAGCCACAUCACUUAAAGUAAGAAGAUUACUUGUCAGAGAAGAUAUCAGUCAGGAAGAAGUGAGAAAGCUGGUUUUAGUAAGUGCCUUAGGCUUAAAGGCUUCUGGUAGUACGUAUACUUGUUCAGCAUAACCUAUCGAAGUAAAUGACAACCAGCCGUUUCAAAACCGCAUGCUGAGAGAGUUGUGAUUUGGACUUCCAAACGUUUAGCAAACCACACCUCAUGCGAGCCUUUGAACCCUAAUCAGUGUAAAUGUAAUAUGGACAGUUAACUGAUGACCAUUUUUUGUGCUUGAUGCUCUUGGACUUCAAUCAACCUUUAUAUAUUAUUCAUUCAAAUAAUCGAUCACAAGCUAGCCAAUGUAAGUUGUAACCCAACAGAGACGAGAUGUUGAAGAAAAUUAUAUAUUUUUUGUACUAUGGUAAGAAAACUAAGGCACCCAUUAGAGAAAGAGAAGUGCUAGCAGCCUUUGCACUAAUAUUUGUAUUUGGACCCUUUCAGUUUAACAAAUAACACAUUAUUUUCUAUACAAAAAAAAAAAAGCAAGAAUUUUGUCUAGGAAUUAACGAUGAGAAAUUGAAUCUAACAACCAAAAUUAAAGUUAACAAAAAAAAAUAGAGAACUUAAUUCUUAUCGAAUCGAAUCUACCUUUAUGAUCGUGCUCCAGAGAAAUUGAAAAGAAUGGAGGGUUUUUGAAUUUGGUAUUUUUUGUGUGGAGAAAAAUGAAACAGAAAGAGCCUUUGAAGAUUCCUUUUUGAGUUUUCACAUUAGGAAUUGGAUAUGCUCCCAAUUUUAGUGUCCGGAGCAUGUCCAUCAAUCGAUUUGGGUUGCUAAUUUGUGUGCAAAAGAAAUCAAAGUCGUUCAUUGUGUGUGGUGGGUCAGGAAAAUAAAUUAAAGGAGGCCGUUAGAUUCAAUUUGUGUGGCCCAAAUUGGUUGAUGCACAUGCUCCAGAAACUAAGGUCUGGAGCGGAUCCAAUUCCUUCACAUUGUGGAAUUUUGUUUCACUUUUACCAUUGUAAGACCAUAGAUCAUGGAUGCUGACAUGGUUGGAUAGGUGUCAAAUGAUGGUGUCCUUGGGGUCUCCACUGUGUCAAAGAAAAAGUAGUCCCCAUGGGCAUCCGAGCGGAAAGAGAACCCACGAUAGUAUAAAGAUUUUGCAUCACACUCAUAGCUUUGACAUCAAUCCUUUUCCCCUCCUUGCCGAUGUUCUUUAUAUUUUACUUUCUUUCUUGAUAAGUUGUUUGUAGAUGACAUUUUCUGAGAAUCUCUUGGGUGUCGUAUGCGUGCUACAUCACUCGUUUGUGUCAAAAUAUAUAUAAACAUUAUUUCUUUCAAUUGAUAUUUAAAAUUAAAAGUCUACAGACACUUUUUGGGUGAACUUGAAUUAAGGAAUUCUCAUUUUAUGUGUUAAGUUUUAUGCGGAUGAGUUACGUGGUACAAAUUCAAGAAUUACUCUACAUUUUAAGCUGUUUUUUUAAACAUUUAUAAGCACAUAUAACUGAACUAGAACGCCACAUGACAAUAAAUGAAUUUUAUAUAAAUCAUUGUUACUUGGAGACUAAGAUUAUGACACCAUUAAAUAUUACAUUGUUUUGCAAGAAAAAAGAGAACAUGGGAAAGAUAACAGGACCAAAACAAUUGAGACUACAAUUUAGGACAUAUUGUACCACAUCUUAAAAAAAAAAGUGGAAUUUACUUAUAUUAUGAAACCUACUAGUAUUAAAUGGUUUACAAUGUAAUUUACUAAAGUAUAACCUCUCUAGCUGAUAAGCCUAUGAGUAAUUAGCGUUUGUAGACAUCAAAUGCUAAUGAGAAAAAAAAAAAUCUAAUUUCAUCCUAUCCACCUCUAUUAUAAAAUUUAUGUUUCAAUGCAUAUACUAACGAUCAAAAUUCAAAUUUCAAUUGUAGAACUGAACCAAAUUAUUGGUAACAAAGCGAUAAUAUAACGAUCAAAACUCAAAGAACUCAUGCCCCGAGUCUAUCAAUAUUUAUUAAAUCCAAAUGUUGUCAACUAUUGGUCUAGUGGUAACUCGUCUUAAUUUUUUACAAGCGAAAAUUCUAGAGUACAUCAACUUAUAACAUAAAUUACAAAAUUUAACGGUUAAUAUGUGUUCAAGAAAUCAAAGAAAUCUAAGAUGUAUCAUUUAUGAAUAUGGUCUACAUGCGAAAUUAUCCUCAAAGAUCAUUGUUGGACAUCAAUGACGGAAGAAAAUCGACAAGUGCUUUGAAUAUGCUCGACAACGACUCUCAACUAUGUACACUCACGAGCAGCCUUAUAGAGGGCAAGUAUCCUUGACAUAAUUCGAAGACGUAGUAACUAAAGCAUGCUUAGCAGACCUCCAAGAAAUUGUGGUUCCACCAACAACACCCAUUUGGGAUCUUGCCGUGUGCAGAUUGAAUAAGUACCCAUCAUCAACAUAACCAACAAAUGGAACUCGAGAACUGGGGUGGGGGGGGGGGUGGUGUGGGAUGGUUGCACUCGAAGUUGAGUAGGGAUGGAACAAGCCCAGGUCAACAGUACCAUUAAGAUAACAUAGAAUUUCUUUAACACCUUUCAAUGUCUGCGUGUUGGCACAUGAUUGUGUCGUGCUAAGUGAUUCAUAAUGUAGGAAAUGUUAGGUCUUGUACACUGAGAUAAGUACAACAAAGCACCAAUUGCACUUAAGUAUGGAACCUUGGGUUCUAAAACCUCUUCAUCAUCUAUCUUUGGAUAUUAUAAGUCUCGUUGUGCAUUGAUGAGUCCAUAUUGUACUAUAUAUUUUACCCUAAUCUUAGUUACAAUUUUUUGGUUAUUUUGGUGAAGUUUUGAUACUUUGGUUUAUAUUUUUAAUGUAGAACAUUUGAAUUCCUCUUGAGCAUAAAGUGAUCAAACAGACAAAUUUUGGAGCAAUUCCAACUGAAGGAUGUUCGUGAGUCUUUCAAGAUGAUUAUGUCAAAAUUCUAGAUUUUUUUACCAAGCCAUUUGACCGUGGCCAUGAUAAGAAUGCCCAGCGCGCAGUUUUUCUAGAUUGACAUUUCUGGACGUUUUGGGUAUUUUGAAGGUUAAUAUGGCAUAUUUUAAGGAAGAUUCAAUCUGAAGAUUUGUAAAUGACGUCUCAAACUUUUAAAAAAAACCUUUUGGGACCAAAUCGGAGUUGAUUUAAUUAGUCAAAAGUUUGAUUUUCUAAGAAGUCCGAAUUUCAGUUCAAAUAGGAAAUCUUUUAUUUCCUAGUCAUCUUAUUCUAUUAUGUUUCCUAGUUUUUAGAAGACCUUUUCUAAGUAGGAUUUUAUUUUGUCGUAGUACAAAUAAGGCUAUUUAGCUAUUAGGAGGGGAAGGCAUCAAUUUGGAGAACUUAGCUAGGCUUUGACGAUUUGUAUUUCAAGGUGUUUUAUAUCAUUUUUCUAUUUCAAUAAAAUUCCUUUUGUUUUAUGGUUGUUGGUAACUAAUUUCCGUUUGUUCGGGUGAUGCCUUGAGCCUUAGCAUGAAUAUGUAGUUAAUUUAAUUGCUUAUGAUAUUAUGCAUACUUUGAAUUAUCAAUCACUGUACUUUAAACUGUAUUUGUGUCUUAAUGAUUCAUGACCAUUAGGAUGAUUAGAUAAGUAAUUGGAUGCAAUUCGGUCGGAAUACCACCAGGGAAUUGAGUAUUGCUUCUUGUGAUUGAUAGUUGUAAUUUCACCUAGAGCAAAUACCAUGUCUUAGGGGUUGCAUGGUUUUUUCAAGGGGUUUUAACAAAGCGUAAUGAGUCAUGCAUGUUUAUAUUUGAUCUGAAUACCACAGACAGAUUGCAUGUUUGAUAUACAUUCUAGCUUGAAUACCACGAGUAGAAUAUACAUUAGGAAAACCUAACCUUCAAAGUUGCAUGGGUAAUUCGUAAGUAAUUAGUAAAUCUACAUAGGAUUGUUCAGGGGAUGGCUGAAUCUUAGUGCUUUUCUAAAUUUAUUUCUUAAAACCUUUUCUUUUUUAUCUGAUUUCUUCUUAAUUGGUUACUAGUAGUUUUGUGACAACCCGUCCCGAAUUUGUAUGUAUUUUAAUCCCCGAGUGUGUAAAAUGACGGAAAUGCCCUCGAGGCUUAGUGACGUGGAUGUACAUAGAUAGUUUUAAAUUAUUUUUCUCGCUGUCAUAAUUAAAUCAUACACGACGCCACGAGCGCAUUGACGCGAAUUAGGGUUGAAUCGGAUUCGUAACGAAAAUGUUACAAACGAAUAGGUGUAAAUGAAUAAGUUUGGAUUUAUACCUAACCCACCAAUCAUAUUACUUCCUACAAUCUUGGACCCAAUUAAUUGUUUGGGUUAGCUUUAUUUCUUUUUGGACCCUAAAACCCACCAUCUCUUCUUGCCCAAUCCGGAGGUGCGCGCGCGCGCACACACACACACACACACACUAAAAAUAUCUCAUUUCUCUCCUUGGUGACCAAUCACACACACACACUAAAAAUCUCUCAUUUCUCUCCUUGGUGACCAAUCAGACGCACACACACACACAACCUCAUCUCAUCUCCUUCAUCUUCUCGAACUCUCUCAUUCGUCUGUACACCGUACGAACACCAUUCACAAAUCCACCAAAAACUUCACGGAUCAAGUAUUUGAACACCACUAUCACCUUUCCAGUGAUCUCAUGAGCGAAACUCUGAGAACCCAGAGCUUCGGCGAGGUACUCUAUUACUCUAAUGUGAUUAUGGACAUUUCAUGAGAUUUUGAGGCUUAAAUAGGGUCUUAAUCAACUCUAUAAGGAUCCUAGGCUAGUUUUGGACUGGUUUGAACGUCAGAAUCCUCGAGAUCACGGAGUUGCAGUUUUGGCUGGUUGUGUCGAGCUAUUUUCUGUCCAUUUCUCGAAGGUUUUAGGUUCCUAAAUAGGUAAGGACUUGUUCUCCUUGUUGAGAGCUUCAAUUCCAUAUAAACUUUAAGAAUUUUGGUUGAGUUUUGAAGAAGAUAUGAAUAUUUUAAAAUUUCCCAGUUUCCGGCGAGUUCAGACGGCGGCGGAGGACAACGGAUUCCGUCGAAGUUCACCGUUGAAGACAGAGAAUAUUCCGUGAACUUUAACGGAAUAUUCUAACGGCGUCAGGUAACUUUAACGGAAUAUUCUAGGAUUUUAACGAAAUAUUCCCUAACGCUGUUAGGGUUUCCGUAGUUGUAUCAAACACGUGCCUGCGCGUGGGACAUCAGAAAAUUGUUCUAAAAAUAUGGGGAUGUUCGUGGUGUUAAGUAGCCCACGAUGAUAUAUUCAAACACUCAAAUUGAGCAACGCAUGAGAAAUUAUUACACGGUUUUGGUUAUGUACUUUCAAAUUAACAUUUAAUCAGUUGUUUCACAUAUGGGUGAGACGUUUUCGGAGGACGAGUGUAGCCAGGUAGGACUUGGGGGCUACGACCCUGCUACAUACCAGUGAGUGGGCUUUUGGUUUUCUAUAUAUACGUAUAUAUGCUUUACUUUUUCUUAGAAACUUUUUAAAAUGGAUUCACGUUUUUUAAAUGCCAUGUCAAUUGCAUCACAUUUUAGUAUAUGCAUUAGUAUAGAUAUGCAUAAUGUUGCAUGACACUGCGGACGCCCAGGUAAGCUUCAGGUGAGUACAUAUUGAUGAUAGAGAUGGCAACGUGUAUGGUUAUGUUUAGAUAUAUUUAGUGCUCAUUAUCUUGCACCUCGGUAUUAGUGCUCCACUCGAGGCCAGGGCCUAGCGUUCACGUGAUUGUUCGCCUCCCUUACCACACGCUCACCUUGGAUCUAAUGCAGGUGCCAGCCUGUUGUACAGACCACAUUAGGUGGUUCCGACUCGUAGGUGCCUUGCGAUAUUUCGCACAGCCUUCACGUGAUCGUAGCACUUGAACGUACUUAUUCACACCCAGCCUGUCGUACAUACCACAUUAGGUGGUUCUGAAUCGUGUGCAGGAAUUGGUAGAUGAGCUAUAGGUUUAGCCAUACAGGUCACGUUAGGUGACUCCCGCUGCCAUAUCACUUUACAUUGUUUCACAUCACCUGGCUUAUAUAUUUUAUUACUAAGAUACUUGACAUGGCAUAUACUCGGUUUUCACCGAUCUCGAGUAUGAUUUCUAUAUAUGUAUGUAUUAUUAUUUUCUAGGAAAUUAUACGGGUUUUACGGUGAGGGGUUAUUAUGUUUAAAAAGAGAAAUGUGUUUUCAAAACUUUGCUUUUGCCCACUCACAAUUUCUGUUUUGUGCCCUCUAGGUUCUAGCUAGAAGUUUUUGUUGGUGGCUCAUGAGGACUCUACGACGGUUCUGACAGCCUUGCAAUAAUGUAGGAACUUUCUUUCACGUUCUGUAUAAUUAAUACUUAACUUACUAGACUGCACUUAGGUUACCUAUGCUCUGAGUAUUGUAUUUCCCACUUUAAACACUUUCACACACUUACAUACUACUCUAGUGUAACUUAGUUAGUUUUAGUUUUUAAUUACCCACAUUUCAAAUCACUAUCACUUCCGCAUUGCGCACAUGGCUACAUCACCCUCACGUGACGACCAACAUGCCUCGAUUCAGGUCGAGGUGUGUCAUGUUUUUCCUAAAUUAAUUUUAUUAAAUUCGUUUUUAUUAUAUUUAAAUUCAAAAUCAAAAUUUUUGAAUCCUUGUUUUUAGAUAAUUAACUAAGAUUUUGGUUUUGCAUAAAUUGUUUUAAAUAAUCCUUGUGGAAACGAUCUUGCUUGAACCGUUUAUACUACAAUUACCUUAUUCUCUUGCAAGUAUUUUGUGUGAUUAUAACCUCUUUACAUAGGUACUAAAAAUCCUAUCAUGCAUCAAGUGUACGGGUGGCCAUGAGAGUACUCAAAGGCAACACUUUAUCAUUAAAGCAAUGUAACACCGUCUUGGUGUUGUUUGACUGAUGGACCAGAAUUUUGGAUUGUGAACUACCUUAGUACAUAUGUGCAGAAGUGUGGCGGGUGACGUAAACAUAAAUAAUCAUUUUAACAUGCAUGUUAAUGGAAUGUUGGAUUCCGUUUAAUCAUAUUAAAUUAAUUUAUGUAUUGAUUAUCUUCAGGUAUAAUAAACCACAAAUGUGUGUUGCACGCCCUAGGGAAAUUUUUGAGAAACUUUUGGGUUCACUAGUCUGUAUCACGCCACUUGCUCGUCUAAAAAAGAGAUUCUUUCACGUCACCAGUUUACCAUGCUACAAUUUUGAAUUUAUUAGAUGGAUAAUACAUUUUGUUUAAUAAAUGACCAACUUUACAAAUAUUUUUGUGAAGUGAUUUCACACAUAUUUUUUAGCUUUUUACACACCCAUGUUUAAUUUUGGAUGUUGAUUCUGUUUGAUUUAUUCAAUCUGAUGGCCAUAAAUAAAGAGAGGUAUGUGAGGAACUAAAAAUGGUGUGUGAAAAUCCAUGACACUGCUGAGCAUGAAUUUUAGUUAGAUGAAAAAAAACCUUACGCCUGAUACAAGUGGGAGGACAUGACAUGAUUGCCUUUAUUCAAGGAUGAGGAAUGCUAAGGUGACUAUCAAGAGUAGGACUCUCCAAGAACUCUUUGCCACCUCAUAGUUAGUUUAACGUCAAUUCAUUCAUGUGCCAGCAUUAUAAGACUAAUGCUAGGAAGACUAAAUUUGUAGACUAAAUUUGUAAACUAAAUGACAUGGAAGUUGAUUAUUAGAUUAUUACUUAAGCGUUAAUAAACGUGCUCAUUUUCUAUUGGUGACACGUCAUUUAGUUUGUAAAUUUUGUCUACAAAUUUAGUCUCCAUAGCGGUACUUGUAUUAUAAAACAUUGUGCCAAAUAUAUGAGGUGACAAAGAGUCUCAAUUUUGAGAGAGUAUCAUUAGCAUUUCUCUUCAAGAAUUUAUCCACAUUCUCCCUACUUAAUAAUUUCACCAAAAAUGGUUUCUGAAUGCUAAUGAUACUCCCUCAAUUUUGAGAGAGUAUCAUUAGCAUUUCUCUUCAAGAAUUUAUCCACAUUCUCCCUACUUAAUAAUUUCACCAAAAAUGGUUUUUGAAUGCUCACUUAUCAAAAUUAAGCCCCUGUUUAGUAUUUUUUUUUUCAUCAAAAGUUGCUUCACUUUAAAGUUAAGUAGUAAAAGUGUGUUUGGUAAAAAUAAAUUAUUUUGCUUAUAUUAAGCAUAAUGAAUGACCUCUAGAUAGCAGCUUUUAAAAGCAUCUUGUAGAUACAAAUGCUUUAAUACAAAGCAGAGUUGAGCCUUUAAUGAAUAUUUUUAAUUCCUAUAAUACGCUAAAUAAUUUUAAAAAAUAACAUUAUUUAUUCUUGUAGGCACAUUUUAUCAUUGAAGAAUAAAGUUGUGAAAUCUCGUUCCCAAAAGUUCAUUAUUUAAUUUAUGUAUUUCAUAUCUAUUUGAUUUUAUUUAACUAUAUUUUUGUUAAUAUUAGAAUUUUAAUUAUUUAGUUACAAAUUUUAGUUUUUCAUAAUUAGUCAAAAAGAAAAAAAAACUAGAAUCUGCCAGAUGGCAGCGGGAGAGAGAUAGACCAAUUAGAAGAGAGAGAAAUGAGAGAAAGGAUGGGGACCUAGCCAAUCAGAAAAGAGAGCAAGGAGGGGAAAUGAGGGAGAGAAAAACCACCCAAUACCGGAUUUUUGCAUCGACUUGUGAUUUCGUCGAUUUCAUCGGUUUUUCCGACGAAUUCCACUUAGCCGUCACUUGCACACUCCACCCCGACCUCCAUUCUCUCAUUUCCACAAAAAAUACGUGAGUUUUUGGCCUGGAUUUCACAAAAAAUUGCGUCGAGGGCUUUGUGGGUGCACGGUGUCAAUUUCGUCAUUUCUAAAAGGUUUUUCGUCAACCACUGCCACCCUUAGGCGUCUUUUGAGUCCAAGAACAUAGCCUAAAUGAGUUUGGGGGUUGCAGAGCUGCGAAUUCGACAAAUCGAGGAACACCCAUUUCUAGGGUUCCGAUGGAUCGAGGGUGUUUUCAGGCGUUUCUCGGUCAAAUUGGACUUUGGCCUAGGUAUGAAAGUUGUUUCCCUUGUUGUGAUCUACAAUUCUGUAAAAUUUGGUAAUUUUUAGAGUUAGGUGAAUUUUUUGGUGAGUCGAGGCGACACAUGGCCCGAAGAACCACUUGACCUUUCUUGGCUAAAUUCAAUACCCUGAUUCCAUAUGUGACUUGUAAUUGAUGAAAUCCCGUCGUUCGAACAUAGUUUUGAUAGAGGCUGCCACUUGAUCAUUAUAUGAAUUGACGAUCCAACCGUUGGAUCGACACCAAACUUUAGUGCGUUAUAGUACGUAAUAUUUGAGACAUUAGUAACUUAGCGAUCAGGAAUCUGAUGUACGGAUCUUUCCGAAUUGAAUUUCUAAGUUUGUAAAAUCAAACAUUGGCCACCAUUUAAUUUUAGCGAUUGGCGGAGAUCUGACAGUCGGAUUGUUCUGAAAUUUUAGGAUAUUGUUCUAGGAGAUUAUUGAGAGUCUUGGGAAGUUAUGCAUCGGAGAUCCAUGGGCAGAUGUUCUAGAUCGAAUUAUAUAGGGUUGUGGACCCCACCGUUGACAGAGAGUUGACUUUUGGUCAAUAUGUUACGAAUUGAUCUUAAAUAAUAAAAUUAGUAUUACUAGAUACUAAGUAGGGCUUAGUGGGCCUAUAUGGGUUGGUGAGCUAUCACAGGUAAUAUAUACCUCGGUAUACGUGUAUGGGAUGCUUUAUGGUGAUAUAUAUAUGUGUGUGUAAUUAACUUCUUGAUAAUACGAAUGAUACGAAUGAUACGAAUGAUAAUUUUUAUGACAAUGUGAGCCUAGAAACCUAUUAGAAGUAUCCUGGUAGAACUUGUAUGCUUAUGUGACAUGUUAGUUAGUGGCCAUGAGGAAUUGAUAGUGCAGGUGAUUACGUUGUAAAUCAUAGAGGUUGAGAUAUACGAGUAAGUAGGUUGUGUGGUGAUAAGAAUGGAUCAUGUAAUAAUGUGGUACGUGGGUGGUCCUGCUUGGUUAAUCUACAUUAGGGGACCACGCCAUGUGAUGCAGGGGUAUGGUCCGGUUUGGUUAAUACACAUUAAGGGACCAUACGCAUCAUAGGGGUGACCCUGCUUGGUUAAUCCGCAUUAGGGAGUCACUGCCUAGGCCAUUUCUUUAUUUCCAUAGUUGGUCUUACUUGGUUAAUCCGCAUUAGGGGACCAUACUAUGGACGAUCCUACUUGGUUAAUCUGCAUUAGGGGACCAUAUGCAUCAUGGGGGUGACCCUGCUUGGUUAAUCCAUAUUAGGGGGUCACUGCCUAUUCCAUUUCUCUAUUUCCAUAGUUGGUCAUGCUUGGUUAAUCUGCAUUAAGGGACCAUACUAUGGGCGGUCCCAAUUGGUUAAUCCGCAAUAAAGGAUCAUACUAUCGGAUACAUGCCUAUGGUUCUACUUGGUAUAUCUGCAAUAGGGGACCAUACGCAAUCUAUGAGUGAUUAUACUUGAUAUAUCCGCGAUGGGUGAUCAUUGCCUGCACAGUUGGAUUAUGCUUAUGAUUCUGCUUGGUAUAUUCGCAAUGGGAGACCAUACACAUUUUAGGGGUGAUGAGGAUUAGUUGUACUUGGUACAUUUCGAUAGGAGCCAUAUUUUAGUCGAAUUUCGUUGAGUGGUUCGAAAUCCUUACUCUUGCUUAUUUCCACAUAAUUAGUCUCGAACCCUAGAUUCGAGUGAAUGAGGAUUACUCACAGUAGACCUUAUGAAUAUAAAUUAGAUUUACCAUGUUAUUACUUAUAAAUCAAGUAAGGAAUUAUGUAGGGUUCUUUAAAUUAAUUCAUGAAAUGAUAUGUUACCUCAUUAAUUGAUUAACGUAGUUAAAUGUUAUUAUUAUGCAUCCUUGAUUCAUGAAAUUGAUUAAUUUACAUGAUUGUGGAAUGACAUUGGUUAUGGUUGGUGUUACUAUGAUUAGAUUAGUUGAUUAAUGUGGAUUGAGAAUAAUAUUGUGCUUCAUUGGUUCUUUGAUAUGAUACAUGUUGUGAAUUGAGGUAUCAUGUUGAAAACAUAGUGAUUUAUAUGAUCGAUGGAAUGGAAAUCUUGAAUGUCAUGUGGGUUUAUUUUGUAGCCCUGAACCUGGUAAUUUCAUGCUUUUCAAGUUCUAAUAAUUGAUUGAGGAAUGCUCUACUUUUAUGCUUAAACGUACUGUGAUAAACUCAGAGUGUAGUGAAUGGUGAACUACGAAUGACUUGAUCCCGUCUUUGGGUACAUAGGCAGUCUAACACAAAGGUUAGAUGCAGCCAUGAAAUAAAAGAAAAUGACUGCGUGGUUAAAUCAUAUUAUUUUUUUUCUUGUCUCGGAGACGAGACAUGAUGAAUAAACUAAGAUGUGCUGAUAUCACGUGUCGAUCUUGGACGUAUGUCGGGAUCGGGGCAUGACAAAAGUGACCACCGCCAUAAUCACCACCAUUGUUGCCACCACCACCACACUACAAUUGUGCCACCACCACCACCACCAUUGCCAUUGUUACCACCAUGCCAUCACCCCCACCAUAAACACAACCGCCACCACUGCUACCACAACUGCCAUCAUCACUGUUAUUGCCACCCCUACCACCGAUGUUGCCUCUGCAGCCCAACCACCACACCCCUUUAUUGGCACCACCACCACCAGCACCACACCAUCACAACCCUUGCCCUUAUCACCAUUGUCGUCGUCAUCACCAAUAUUGUUACGUCUAUUUUUGUCAUUAUAUACAAUUAUAAAUUAUCAAACGCUUUUACACUGUUUUUUAUACUCACAACACUUCUAAAAAUAUAGUUCAUCAAACACUAAACAACUUUAUUUUGUACCAGAUUAUUCUUAAAGCACAUCAGAAGCAGGUUUUUAAAAAAACACAUCAAUCUCAAAAUGGCCUUAAGAUUAUGGGUUUUUCAAUUGAGGUAAAUAUAUUAUGUAUUUGACCAAAACGAUUUUAAAUAAUUUGUCAUAAGAUGACGCGAAAGAAGAACGGAAAUGUGACACAUGAAAUUGAACCAAAGCAAAUGAUUUUCUUGGGUUUUAACACCCAUAUAUUUUUUUGUUGGUUUAUCAUUUUCACCAAGCUCCACCUCAUCUAUAAUCUUUAUGUAUUAUGUUCCGAUCCCGAAACCAAGCUCCACCUCAUCAAUAAUUAAAUAAUUUGAUGGCAUUACUUUUGUUUCCUUUCUCAAUUUAAAGGCCCAAACAAGAAACAAAGCAACACUAGACAAAGACCACUGCUGUAUAAUGGGUGUUUUAGAAACUCAAAAGGAAAGAAACUCAAAAGCUUCAAUUUGUUUGUCGUGCUCUUUUAACUUCCACUUUUACUGUUAUACAAGCGAAAACAAGAGAGAUUUAAUAUGAGUAAAGGGAUACUUUACUUCUUGAGAUACAAGUUUACUGUUGUAAUCUAGCAAGGUUUCUUCUAAGGAUCUUGGCUUUCUUUAUCUGUAAAGAAGAUGGGUUUUUGGUUGUUUAAUUAAUUUCUACCCAGAAUUGCAAGAUAAAAAGGGAUACAAAGGAGAAGACACACACACACGUGUUUUUUUAAAGAUGAUUACAUUUCCUGGAUAGAACUGAGAAGAUAUAUAAACCGGCAAACAAGUUUAUUUAUCUUAGGAAAGUAACAGUAUUUCCAUAUUCACUUUCAUGUUAUUACAACUUUCAUCUUAUUACAACUUUGAUGUCGAAAAUUAGAAAAUUUAAGGAAGGUGGUUUUCUUAUCAGUUAGGGUUUCUAUAAUGCGCGUUGAAUUCUUUAUCUAAGUAAGUUUUUAUCUGUUAGAUCACGACGGCUCACUGUCAAAUUAAAUGAAAAGUAAUGAAAGCACAAAACAGAAAACAAAAUAUCGUAGUUGACUGCUGGUAGGAUAAAUUUGCAGUUAAAUUUCAUCGAAAACAUUAAACUUGACAAGGAUUACCAGAACCAUAAAAUUACCACAUAACAAGUACACAAAGGAAACGAAAAACUUGAAACAAAAGUUCACAAACAAAUAACCAACGACAUAAGAAAACAGACUGCAUACUUUUAUUUAGACCAUUUUUUAGUACCCUCAAAACUAAUUGGCAAGUUAGUUAAUCCCCAUAAGUGACAAUGCUGUCCAUAAUCUUGGCCACUACCUCCUUAGAAUCCCUCAGUUUUUUUAUGCUUUUGUUAAGCUUCUCACGCUUUACUGCCACUGCCGGGGACUCCUCCAACAUCCUCUCAAUUCCCCCACCGUAAGGUCCCAACAACUCAUUCACAAUCUCAGCUUCCAUCUCUUUGUUCACAAGGUUGAAAACAGACAGCUGCAAGUGCAAUGCCAUGCAGUCCACAAGCCUCCUCAAAACAACCUUCCAAUAAGCAAUCAUUCUCAUUUUAAGGUCAUAAGCUUGAGCUAACACAUGCGGGUACUUCCUCAGAACACCGACUUCCACUUCCCCGAUGCCUUCUAUAUCUAUGAUAGAAGGCUUCUUCUCAUCAGUUAAGACUCCAUGAAUGAAUUCGUUUUGACUAGCCAUCAGCUUGUUCCAUUCGGAAACAUAAUCACCAUCACAUGUAUAAUCUGUCAGCUUUUCCAUCUCUACAAGCUCCAGCAUCCACUUGAUUGACCUCUCCUUCAUCUUGGCCAUUAGACUAUGGCCGGCACGCCUUGCUGACAGCUGCAGCUGAUGAUAGUUAUCCGUAUAAUGCAUCAACACAGAAAUAACCACCUCUUCAAUGUAGUUCCACACUUUUUCCUCAAAUGCAAUCGGAAUACUCGAAAUUUCAUUCACUUUUGCCUGCAAGAUAAUGAGGAAAGCAUUGCGUGGAAGGAAGUUCGGAAGUGAAAUACCUUUGGCCUCCUCCAAGAUCCUGAUCUCCUCCAUCAAGAAGUUGCUCUUUGCAUCAGUUUCAGCACAUCUGUGAAGUUCAUCCGAGUACUGGUUGAGCAUCUCAACCAAUCUAGCAGUGCAGUGCAUGCGAUUGUCUUCCGCGUACUCCUGAAAUUCUCCUCUCAAAAGAAUCUUCCUAAGCGAUUCCUUAGCCAAGCCAGUGAUUUGCAUAAAAGCCGUCAUGGCCUCAGCAACCGAUGAAAGACUCUUUGGCAUUUUGUUCAGCUCCAUAAUGCAGAAGUUCAGCCUGUCAUUGAUCUUCUUCACUAUCUCAGGUAUAUUUCUUGCUAUGCUGUUUGCUUGAAUUUGGACCAGCUUCUGUGCUAAAACUGGAAUGCCGACAAUGGACUUGUCAAUCUUCGAAAGCAGAGGAUGGGUUUGAAAUAGUUCAUGAGCCAUCACCGCUGCCUCCUCAUCAGUUUCGUCACCAAUCCUGUUCCUUACACAGACAUAACCAAGACCAAUGUUUACAUCAUCUCCAGUGACCUUCUCAAGUAGUCCUUCCGGUGCCUUGUCCACUUUCGUAACCACAGCGAGCGUCCUCUCACCAGUUUUAUCUACACUUUGUGACAUCCGGAUUGACUCACACGUAGUAAAAUCCACCGUAGCAGACAAUACAUUCAGAAUAAUACUUUCCUCCGGCUUAAUAUACUCCAUGAUCAUAUCUUUGAUCUGAUCAUAGAUAUUUUCAGGUUGGCCAUGGACUGGAACCCUUGUGAUUCCCGGAAGAUCAACCAUAGUCAGAUCCGGAACCCCAUACUUCUUCACCAACAAAGUAAGUGGCGUGUUUGAAAUUCCCUUACCUCCCCCCGCAAUAGAAUUAGUAGCUUUCACAAUAUCUUUGGUGAUAUUUUCUUCAUCAGUACGAUCAACUCUGCCAUUGUACUCCAAGGAAAGUUCAGGCUGAGGACUCGAGUGGUGUUCGAGCCUCAUAAUAAGAGGCACUCUCGUGCAGAUGCCUUGGCCCCGAGGUAGGCUGAUGCCGGCCAAGGAUUCGAGCACGCUAGACUUCCCGGAUGACUGGUCUCCGACCACCACAAUCGUUGGCAGCUGAAUGCCUUCAUCCAUCACCUUCAAGCUGCGUAACUUGUCUACCGCAUCCAGAAGAGGGCGGAUCUUGUCGUUAUAGGACGACACAAUGGGUGCGCAUUUGAGGGGUACUGCGUCUAGUCCUGCCUGAACCAUUGCGAGGGAGCCUUCACCGUUUAUAACUGUGCGACUCGAUUCCAUUUUCCUUGGUCCUUGCGUUUCUGAAUUAUAGCAAGUCAAAACAAUGGUGAAAAAUCUAGAGGGAAACCGAGAUUGUAGAGAGAUGAGAGAGAAUUCGAAGAUGGAAAAUGUUCUGUAUUGGGUUUAUGACUUAAUGGAGUAAAAUGUUCUAUUUAUAGCUACUGCUAUAUAUCAUUCUUAGCCCUUAAGCAACUUAACUGACUCUCAAUCAACAAUAGCAACACAUCUAACAAAAAUGCUACUUUUCCGAUAUAUUUGUACCAUCAUUUGCUUACAUUGAUAAAUCGGACUCAUACUCAUAAGCUGACAUGGCAGCCACAUGACUUAAAAGUAAGAAGAUUACUUGUCAGCGAAGAUAUCAGUCAGGAAGAAGUGAGAAAGCUGGGUUUAGUAAGUGCCUUAGGCUUAAAGGCUCCUAGUUGUAUGUAUAAUUGUUCAGCAAAACCUAUCGAAGUAAAUGACAACCAGCCUUUUCAAAACCGCAUGCUGAGAGAGUUGUGAUUUGGACUUCCAAACGUUCAGCAAACCAAACCGCUUGCGAGCCUUUGAACUUCUAAACCCUAAUCAGUGUAAAUGUAAUAUGGACAGUUAACUGAUAACCAUUUUUUGUGCUUGAUGCUCUUGAACUUCAGUCAACCUUUAUAUAUUAUUCAUUCAAAUAAUCGAUGACUAGCUAGCCAAUGUAAGUUGUAACCCAACAGAGACGAGAUGUUGAAGAAAAUUAAAUAUUUUUUGUAAUUUGGUAAGACAAACAAAGGCACCCAUUGGAGAAAGGGAAGUGCUAGCAGCCUUUGCCCUAACAUUUGUGUUUGGACCUCUUCACUUUAACAACUAACAGGUAUCAUUUUCUAUACAAAAAAGCAAGAAUUUUAAAGCUUUUGUCUAGGAAUUAACGAUGAGAAAUAUAAAAUAUACAUUAUUAUGUCAUUCAUUAAAAUGAAAAUUUUCAAAUGCAAAAGUUAGUGCAAAAGUGUAUUUCUCUUAGAAAAAUUCAAUCUAACAACCAAAAUUAAAGUUAACAAAAAAAAGUAGAGAACUUAAUUCAUAUUGAAUCUACCCUUAUGAUCGUGCUCCAGAAAAAUUGAGAAGGAUGCAGGGUUUUUGAAUUUGGUAAAGCUUAAGGAUUAAGGUUGCUGUUUUUUUUUUUUUUUUUUUUUUUUUUUUUUUUUUUUGGAGAAAAGUGGAAGAGAAAGAGCCUUUGAAGAUUCCUUUCUGAGUUUUCACAUUGUGGGGAUUUUGUUUCACUUUUACCAUUGUAAGACCAUAGAUAAUGGAUGCUGACAUGGUUGGACAGAUGUCGAAUAGUGGUGUGGUAUGCCCAAUCGGUUUAGGUUGCUGAAAAUAGCAACUUUAACUAAAAAUAGUGCAGGACUUUAAAAGAGGAAGGGGAAAUAAGAGUUUGAGGAAAAAGAGGCAACUUUAAUUCAUCAUUUCAUAGGUUCUUUACGCUCUCCAUUAUUACAUAUUUAUGCUCCUCAUAAAAGAGAAAAUAGAGUUUUAACGAAAAGCCCGCGGUACUGUUCACUUUAAUGAAAAACCACAUUUUUACACUAAAAAGUCAAAUCUGGUACUAUUCAUAUUACUCUUUAUUUUGUUCUUAUCGUUAAAAUUCAAAGUUUUAAAGCAUUUUUCAUUAGUUUUCCUAAGAGAACAACCCUAGCUACUUGGACAUAAAAAAAAAGGCUAGUACGGGCAAGUUGCAAGAGGAGAAGUAGUGGGCUCAAGUAAAUGGGCUUAAUAACUCCCCCCUCUCCUUGAGAAUAGGCCUGACCUUAGGUCAAGAAAUCGAGGUAACGGGCCAAGAUGUCGUCAGCUUCCUCCCAGGUGACAUCUUCAGUGGGUAGGCCAACCCACUUGAUCAACCAUUUUGUCGCAGCUUUAUUUUUUUUUCUUGAAUAUGCCCUUGUCUAAAACUCUUUCUGGUUGCCAGUGUAGAACCCCAGUGGAGUCGAUAGGAGGCAAAACUGACAGUGGAGGAGAAAUACUACCAAUCUUUUGUUUAAGGAGAGACACAUGAAAGACGGGGUGGAUUUUGGAGUCUAAAGGCAAACGAAGCUGAUAUGCUACGAAACUGAUGCGCUUAGUUAUCUGAAAAGGUCCAUAGAACUUGGGUGCCAGCUUGUUUGUUGUUCUAGUAGCCACUGAUUGUUAGCGGUAUGGUUAAAGCUUCAGGUAAACCCAGUCACCAACAUUAAAUUCCCGCUCAGUUCUCUUGUUAUCAUAGACUUGUCUCAUUUUGUUCUCUGCAAGCUGCAAAUUUGUUCUCAUAAGACAGAUUAAUUUGUCCUUAUCCUGUAUUGCAGCAUCAAUUGAGUGUACCGUCGUGGAGCCGAGCAUAUACAUGCAAAGGUGGUUCAAUGUCAUAAACAGCCUGAUAUAGAGACAUUUUGAUGGAAGAUUGGAAGCUUGUAUUAUACCACCAUCUAGCCCAGGGAAUGAGAGAAGACCAAUUGGUGGGUUUGUCUAUUGAGAAACAUCGAAGAAAAUGUUCCAAUGUGCAGUUAAGGACUUUCAUUUGCCUAUUCGUUUGAGGGUGGUAACCUAAACUUAGGCAAAGUUUGUUGCCUUGGAGUUUAAAGAACUCUUGCCAAAAGUUACUAAGAAAAUUGGGUCGCGAUCUGAAACGAUCUAUUUUGGCAUACCAUGGAGUCAGAAAACCUCAUUGCUGAAAGUAUCAGCUACAAAGGCAACUGUGUAUGGGUGCUUUAAUGGGAUAAAGUGGCCAUACUUUGAUAGGCGAUUGAUGACAACUAGGAUCACGGUGUACGCGUUGGAAAAUGGGAGCCCUUUGACAAAAUCAAGAGUGAUGUCCUGUCAUAUGCCAGUGGGGAUGAGCAAGGGAUGCAGUAACCUAGGAGGGUGUUUUGUAUGCAUUAAGCCACAAUUUUUUUUUGUUUCCUUUCGAAUUCCCGGCCAUAAAACUUUUUUGGAGAGUCUUUUGUAUGUUCAAAGGAAGCCCAAGUGACCAUCUUAGAGAGAUGCAUGGAAUUCAUCCAAGAGUUUAGGUUGCCAUUGGGAUGUGAGUAGUGGGACAAAGAUCUGUUGCUUGUAGUGCAACACAUCAUUUAUAAUUGAGAACCCUUUGAUUGAAGUGUUGGGUAUUGGAACUAAAAGAUUCCAAACCUUUUGCACUUCUAGAUCCUAUGCAUAAGACUGUUGCAACUGAGGAAUGCAAUCAAAUAUAGGGGUAGAGAGGCCUAUUAAGAGCAAAAGUUCUUGUUGGCAGGAGAUAGCAUAUGGAGCACUGUUUUGAGAACCCGACCUAUACUCGACCGAGUAGUUGUACCCCAACAAUUUCACCAGCCAUUUUUAAUUUUUUUCACAAAAACUGUAAGUUAUAACUCACGUUUUCCAAUCGAUUUUAAGAACUUUUACAAGAUUCAUUAUAAGCCAAAAUUUGAGUCGUUUUAGUCGCACCACAUGUUUUCUAAAAUUAAUUUAGGACAUCCCAAAUAUUUUUCAACACCUACAAAUUUCUUUGGUGGCUUCACUAUUAGUUUAUACUAUUUUUCUAACUCAUAGUAACAACGAAAAAAUUUCUCAGCAUGACCAAAAUGAUUGAUGGUGCAUCAGAGACUACUUUUAUCGAUUUCAAAUUUGAAGGACUAAAGUAAGGAGUUAUGCCAGAAAGUGGCCCUCUACCACAGUGGUGGAGAGGAGUAUUGGCCUUACACUACGACAGAGCUUCGAACCAUGACGGCUCCCUAAUCUAACAUCUAAUUAAAAAAUCUAUUGUUUGACGAAGAAAAAAAAGUAAGGAGUUAUGUCAAUUUCAAAAUCCGUUUUGGCCCCUUUUUAACAUGGAUGGAGGGUUUCAAAUUCCUUGUUACUACCUUUUAGGGGUUUUAUUAAAUUUUAUGAAUUUUUUUGUUGGUAUAUUUGAGCGUGUCUUUAAAAUGAUUAAAAUUGUUUUAAUAUAAUAAAAUAAAAAGUGUUUAUGACAACAUUUUGACCAAAAAAAGGACUUUAUGGAGAGGUCUAUGAGCAAAAUGCAACUCUUACUACCUAUUUGUACUAUAAUUUGUACCACUAAUAAAGAUGAGACUCACAUGCGUUGGCGAGCCUUACCUCUAUUAGAGAUAUAGUAGAAAUAUAUGGUAAAUGUAGCAUUACUCGUCUAUGAGUGUUUUCAACGGAGUACAAUUCUCUGUCAUCCUAUUCCUAGUGUGGUUUAGUCCAUACUAAGUGUAUGGAUUCUAACAAACGAUCAAUUAAAACAUGAAAUCUAAUAUGGACAUUUAAUUAAAUGUUUAUUAAUAUUUACGGUGCGGUUCGGUUUCGGUGUAGUUUUCAAAAGCCAAAACCGAAACCAAACCGUUUUCUAUGUUGCGGUUCGGUUUCAAAACCGAAACCGUUUCAAAACCGCAAAACCAAACCAUUCGGUGCGGUUUGAUUUGGUUCGUGUUUUGGUUUCGGUUUUCGGUUCUAAGUGCCAAUCCCUAGGAGAGCGUGUCCCUUUUUUUUGAAAAAUAUGGAUCAUUUCCCUUAAGCUCCUCCUACACACACACACACACACACACACACACACACACACACAUAUAUAUAUUAAAAUGAUAACCUUUCUUGGAUAGAACUGAGCAUAUAAACAUGCAAAGGUAAUGUUAGAGAGACCAAAGUUUUAAACAAAAUAAUGUGUUACCAAUAAAAAAUAAGCACGUUAAUCAACGCUAAAGUAAUAAUUCAAUUAUCAAUAAGCACAUCAUUUGGUUUGUAAAUUUGAUUUAAAAAAUUUGGUCUCCCUAACAUUAUCCAACCUGCAAACAAGUUUAAUUAUCUUAGACAAGCAACAUUAUUUACAUAUUUACUUUCAGGCAAUUACAAAUUUGACGUCGAAAAGAAGAUUUAAGGAAAAUGGUUUUCUUAUUAAUUAGGAUUUUUACAAUGCGUGUCGCAUUCUUUACCUAAAGUUUUUAUGUCUGUCAGAUUGGUUAUGAAAGCUCACUGUCAUAUUAAUAAACGGUAUUAUAAGCAGAAAACAUGAGACAAAAAAUAGGAGUUAAACUGUAUGUAAGAGGAAAUCGCACUUAAAUUUCAUUAAUAACAGUAAACUUGACAAGGAUUACCACAAUCAUACGACUACGGACUAUUACACAACAAGAACACAAGGGAAACAAAAGAACUUAAAAACAAAAGUUGACUAACAAACAACCACCCACAUCAGACAACAGAAAGCUAAUUGCCAAGUUAGUUAAUCACCAUAAGUGAUAAUGCUGUCCAUAAUCUUGGCCACCACCUCCUUCGAAUCCCUCAGUUUUUUUAUGCUUUUGUUAAGCUUCUCACGCUUUACUGCCACUGCCGGGGACUCCUCCAACAUCCUCUCAAUUCCCCCACCGUAAGGUCCCAUCAACUCAUUCACAAUCUCAGGCUCCAUCUCUUUGUUCACAAGGUUGAAAACAGACAGCUGCAAGUGCAAUGCCAUGGAGUCCACAAGCCUCCUCAAAACAACCUUCCAAUAAGCAAUCAUUCUCAUUUUAAGGUCAUAAGCUUGAGCUAACACAUGCGGGUACAUCCUCAGAACACCGACUUCCACUUCCCCGAUGCCUUCUAUAGUUAUGAUAGAAGGUUUAUACUCGUCAGUUAAGACUUCAUGAAUGAAUUGAUUUUGACUAGCCAUCAACUUCUUCCAUUCGGAAACAUAAUCAUCAUCACAUGUAUAAUCCGUUAGCUUUUCCAUCUCUACAAGCUCCAGCAUCCACUUGAUUGACCUUUCCUUCAUCUUGGCCAUUAGAUUAUGGCCGGCACGCCUGGCUGACAGCUGCAACUGAUGAUAGUUCUCCGUAUAAUGCAUCAACACAGAAAUAACCACCUCUUCAAUGUAGCUCCACACUUUUUCCUCAAAUGCUAUCGGAAUACUCGAAAUUUCAUUCACUUUUCCUUGCAAGAUAAUGAGGAAAGCAUUGCGUGGAAGGAAGUUCGGAAGUGAAAUACCUUUGGCCUCCUCCAAGAUCUUGAUCCCCUCCAUCAAGAAGUUGCUCUUUGCACCAGUUUCAGCACAUAUGUGAAGUUCAUCCGAGUACUGUUUGAGCAUCUCAACCAAUCUAGCAGUGCAGUGCAUGCGAUUGUCGUCCGCAUAGUCCUCAAAUUCUCCUCUCAAAAAAAUCUUCCUAAGCGAUUCCUUAGCCAAGCCAAUGAUUUGCAUAAAGGCUGUCAUUGCCUCGGCAACAGAUGAAAGACUCUUUGGCAUUUUGUUCAGCUCCAUAAUGCAGAAGUUCAGCCUGUCAUUGAUCUUCUUCACUAUAUCGGGUAUAUUUCUUGCUAUGCUGUUUGCUUGAAUUUGGACCAGCUUCUGUGCUAAAACUGGAAUACCGACAAUGGACUUGUCAAUCUUCGAAAGCAGGGGAUGGGUUUGAAAUAGUUCAUGAGCCAUCGCCGCUGCCUCCUCAUAAGUUUCGUCACCAAUCCUGUUCCUUACACAGACAUAACCAAGACCAAUGUUUACAUCAUCUCCAGUGACCUUCUCAAGUAGUCCUUCCGGUGCCUUGUCCACUUUCGUAACCACAGCGAGCGUCCUCUCACCAGUUUUAUCUACACUUUGUGACAUCCGAAUUGACUCACACGUAGUAAAAUCCACCGUAGCAGACAACACAUUCAGAAUAAUACUUUCUUCCGGCUUAAUAUACUCCAUGAUCAUAUCUUUGAUCUGAUCAUAAAUAUUUUCAGGUUGGCCAUGGACCGGAACCCUUGUGAUUCCCGGAAGAUCAACCAUAGUCAGAUCCGGAACCCCAUUCUUCUUCACCAACAAAGUAAGUGGCGUGUUCGAAAUUCCCUUACCUCCUCCCGCAAUAGAAAUAGUAGCUUUCACAAUGUCUUUGGCGAUAUUGUCUUCAUCAGUACGAUCAACUCUGCCAUUGUACUCCAGGGAAAGUUCAGGCUGAGGACUCGAGUGGUGUUCCAGCCUCAUAAUAAGAGGCACUCUCGUGCAGAUGCCUUGGCCCCGAGGGAGGCUGAUGCCGGCCAAGGAUUCGAGCACGCUGGACUUCCCCGAUGACUGGUCUCCGACCACCACAAUCGUUGGCAGCUGAAUGCCUUCAUCCAUCACCAUCAAGCUGCGUAACUUGUCUACCGCAUCCAGAAGAGGGCGGAUCUUGUCGUUGUAGGAUGACACAAUGGGUGCGCAUUUGAGAGGUACUGCGUCUAGUUCUGCCUGAACCAUGGCGAGGGAGCCUUCACCGUUUAAAUCUGUGCAACUCGAUUCCAUUUGCCUUGGUCCUUCCGUUUCUGAAUUAUAGCAAGUGAAAAUAAUGGUGAAAAUUCUAGAGAGAAACCGAGAUAAUUUCAAGCUUAAUUAGCUAAAGAAUUGAGGUUCUCUGGCAGUUUACCCUCCAGUUUAUAACAUUUUUUUACUAAGAAUGUUUUCAGGUAAGGGAAAACACCACUUUCGUGAUCCAGUAGGAAACGGAGCCUUUCUUUCAACCGCUGCAUUUCCACAAACUCAAGAGACUCUAAUACCCGAAAAGGCAAGUUACGCUCUCCUUAAAACUCAGCACCAAUUCGAAGAUGGAGUAAAAUGUUCUGUAUUGAGUUUGUGACUUAGUGGAGUAAAAUGUCCUAUUUAUAGUGAUGCAGUACAAGACUCUCAUGCAUGUAUUGGAAUCUACCAAGAGUUGGAACCAUCAAAUAUAUUUAAUGGAGUUUUAGAGCAACACAACUAAUUAAGUAGUCAUUUAAGACCAUUUUAAAUAUUUUGGGUAGAGCAAAAGUCCAAUUCGGACUAGAGUUUCAUUGUGUUGUAUUCCUUAUAAAUAUAUGUACUAAUUGUAUUCCUUAAAUGACUACUUAAUUAGUUGUGUUGCUCUAAAACUCCAUUAAAUAUAUUUGAUGGUUCCAACUCUUGGUAGAUUCCAAUACAUGCAUGAGAGUCUUGAUUACUACAUCAUUUAGCUACUGCUAUGUGUCAUUCUUAGCCUUCAAGCAGCUUAACUGACUCUCAGUCAACAAUAACAACACAUCCAACAGCUUAAGGAUUGCUGUUUUUAGUGGAGAAAUGUGGAAGAGAAAGAGCCUUUGAAGAUUCCUUUAUGAGUUUGCACAUUGUGGGAGAUUUUGUUUCACUUUUACCAUUGUCAGGCCAUAAUCAUGGAUGUUGACAUGGUUGGACAGAUGUCGAAUGAUGGUGUCAUUGGGCCCCCACCAUCAAAGAAAAAGCAGUCCCCAUGGGGCAUCUAAGCGGAAAGAGAAUCCAUUAUAGUAUAAAGAUUUAGCAUUCACACUCAUAGCUUCGACAUCAAUCAUUUUCUUCCUUGCCGAUGUUCUUUAUAUUUUGCUUUCUUUAUUUCUUGAUAAGUUGUUUCUGGAUGAUAUUUUUUUAGAAUCUCUUGGAUGUCGUAUGCGUGCUACGUCACUCGUUUGUAUCAAAACACGCAUAAACAUUAUUUCUUUCAAUCGAGAUUUAAAAUUAAAAGUCUACAUACACUUUUUUGUUGUAAUUUGACUGAUGGACCAUAAUGUUGGAUUGUGAACUACCUUAGUACAUAUGUGUAGAAGUGUGGCAGGUGACGUAAGCAUAAAUAAUCAUUUUAACAUGCAUGUUAGCAAAAUGUUAAAUUGUGUUUAAUCAUAUUAAAUUAAUUUAUGUAUUGGUUUUGUUCAGGUAUAAUAAAAUUAAAAACACAUGUAUAAACUUAGUGUAAGUUUUAGGAUUCUCACCUUUAGAUUUCAUAGGUGGACAAAUUCAAUGUUGUUAAAGAUCCCAAGUGUUAGCCCUCAACUAGUGUCUACACGAAUAAAUAUCUGGCUAGUGAAGCAAAAAAACGACAAUUUGCUAGAACUUUAUCCAUCAGGUAGGUGUUGCCAUAAAGGGAUUUGGUAUGGUGUUUUGUUUUUCAAUUCUCUAAAUUGGAAAACCUAUUUCUUUUCUCUCUAAUAUCUAUUUGCGAUUAUUGAAUUCUCACACUAUGUUACAUAGACCCCUUAGGCUUAUAAAAAGAACAAUCUGUAAUUAAGCCAAUUGUGUGUUGCACGCCCUAGGGAAAUUUUUUAGAAACUUUUGGGUUCACUAGUCUGUAUCACGUCACUCGCUUGUCUCAAGAAGAGAUCCUUUCACAUCACCAGUUUACCACACUAAAAUUUUGAAUUUAUUAGAUGGAUAAUACAAUUUGUUUAAUAAAUGACCAACUUUACAAAUAUUUUUGUGAAGUGAUUUCACACAUAUUUUUUAGCUUUUACACACCCAUGUUUAAUUUUAGAUGUUGAUUCCGUUUGAUUUAUUUAAUCUGGUGGCCAUAAAUAAAGAGAGGUACGUGGAAAACUAAAAAUGGUGUGUGAAAAUCCUUGACACUACUAAGCAUGAAUUUUAGUAAGAUGAAAAAAGACCUUCGCUUGAUACCCGUGGGAGGACGUGACAUGACUUCCUUUAUUGAAGGAUGAGGAAUGCUAAUGUGACUUUCAAAAGUAGGACUUUCUAAUGACUCUCUGCCACCUCAUAGCUAGUUUAAUGUCAAUUCAUUCACGUGCCAACAUUAUAACACAAAUGCUAGGAAGGCUACAUUUAUAGACAAAAUUUGUAUACUAAAUGACAUGAAAGUUGAUGAUUAUAUUAUUAUUUAAGCGUUGAUAAACGUGCUCAUUUUCUAUUGGUAACAAGUCAUUUAGUUUUCAAAUUUUGUCUACAAAUUUAGUCUCCAUAGCAUUACCUGCAUUAUAAAGUAUUGUGCCAAAUAUAUGAGCUGACAAAGAGUCCAUAGAGAGUCUCAAUUUUGAGUCUCAUUAGCAUUUAUCUUCAAGAAUUUAUCCACAUUCUCCUCACGUAAUAAUUUCACCAAAAAUGUUUUCUAAAUGCUCACUUAUCAAGAUUAAACCCCCGUUUGGUAUUUUAUUUUUUGGGUAAAAGACUGUUUACUACCCUCAUGUUUCGUGGUUUUCAACAUUUAGUACAUCAUGUUUUUUUCGUCUCAGAGUCAUACCUAAAGUGUAAAUUUUGGGACAGUCUCAUACAUCCGUUAGUCAAACUGUUAAGUUUUUCGUUAACUGUGACGUGGCGCACUGACUGGGCGCCACGUGUCAUCCACGUUUUUUUUUUUUCUUUUUCUUUUUUCUUUCUUUUCUUUUCUUCUUCUUCCUUCUUCUUCUUCUUCCUCCGACUGCAACUUUUUUUUUUUUUUUUGCUUCUUCCUUUUCCUUCUUCCUUCCUUCCUCCUUCCUUUCCCUUUCUUCCCCUUCUUCCUUCUUCUUCCUUCUUCUUCCUCCGAAAUCUGGGGAAUGUUUUUUUUUUUCUUUCUUCUUCUUCCUCCUUCCUUCCCCUUCUUCCUUCUUCUUCUUUCUCCUUCUUCUUCUUCUUCUUCUUCCUCCGAAAUCUGGGGAAGUUUGUUUUUUUUUUUCUUUCUUUCUUCUUCUUCCUCCUUCUUCUUCUUCUUCUUCUUCCUCAAAAAAAAAAAAAAAAAAACACUUUUAUCUUUUCUUCCUCUUCUUCUUCUUCUUCUUCUUCUUUCUCUUUCCUCCUUCCUUCUUCUCCUUCUUCUUCUUCUUCUUCUUCUUCCUCCGAAUCUGCCCAGAUUCAAUUUUUUUUUUCUUCCUCCUUCUUCUCCUUCUUCUUCUUCUUCCUCCGAAUUUGGGGGAAGAUGAAAGUGUUUUUUUUUUUUUGAGGAAGAAGAAGAAGAAGAAGAAGAAAGAAAGAAAAAAAAAAAAAACAUUCCCCAGAUUUCGGAGGAAGAAGAAGGAAGAAGAAGGAAGAAGGGGAAGAAAGGGAAAGGAAGGAGGAAGGAAGGAAGAAGCAAAAGGAAGAAGCAAAAAAAAAAAAAAAAAAACAAAAACAGAAAGUUGCAGUCGGAGGAAGAAGAAGAAGAAGGAAGAAGAAGAAAAGAAAAGAAAAAAAAAAGAAAAAAAAAAACGUGGAUGACACGUGGCGCCCAAUCAGUGCGCCACGUCACAGUUAACGAAAAACUUAACAGUUUGACUAACGGAUGUAUGAGACUGUCCCAAAAUUUACACUUUAGGUAUGACUCUGAGACGAAAAAAACUUGAUGUACUAAAUGUUGAAAACCACGAAACAUUAGAGUAGUAAACAGUCUUUUACCCUUAUUUUUUUCAACAAAAGUUGCUUCACUUUAAAGUUAAGCAGUAAGAAUGUGUUUGGUAAAAAUAAAUUAUUUUGCUUAUAUUAAAAGUAAUGCAUGUCCUCCAGACAGCAACUUUUAAAAGCAGCAUGUAGGUAAAGCUGUUUUUAAUAAAAAGCAGAAUUGAGCUUUCAAUGAAUAUUUUUAAUUCCUGUAAUAUGCUCAAUAAUUUUAGAAAAUAACAUUAUUUAUUCUUGUAGGCACAUUUUAUCAUUGGAGAACAAAGUGACCACCACUAUAAACCCUAACCUCUUACACUACCAUUGCCAUGAUCACCACCAUUGUUGCCACCACCACCACACUACAAUUGCGCCACCACCACUACAACCAUACACACCACCGCUACCUUUGCCAUCAUUACCACCACACCGCCGCCGCCGCCGCCACCACCACCAUAAACACAACUGCCACCAUCAAUGUUGUUGCCACCCCUACGACCAAUGUUGCCUCUGCAGCCCAACCACCACCACCAUCCCAACCCUUACCCUUAUCACUGUUGUCGUCGUCACCACCAACAUUGUUACGUCUAUUUUUGUCAUUAUAUACAAUUAUAAAUUAUCAAACGCUUUUACGCCGUUUUUCAUACUCAACACUUUUAAAAAUACAAUUCAUCUAACACUCAACUGCUUUAUUUUGUAGCAGAUUAUUCUUAAAGCACAUCAGAAGCACUUUUUUUUAAAGCACAUCAAUCUCAAAAUGGCCGUAAGAUUAUGAGUUUUUCAAUUGAGAUAAAUAUAUAAUUUAUUUGACCAAAACGAUUUUAAAUUAUUUGUAAUAAGAUCACGCGAAAGAAGAACAUAAACGUUACACAUGAAAUUAAACCAAAGCAAAUGAUUUUCUUGGGUUUUAACACCCAUAUAUUUUUUGUUGGUUUAUCAUUUUCACCGAGCUCCACCUCAUUUAUACUUAAAGAAAUGUAUUAUGUUCCGAUCCAGAAACCAAGCUCCACCUCAUCAAUACUUGGAUAAUUUGAUGCAUUACUUUUGUUUCCUUUCUCAAUUUGGAGGCCCAAACAAGAAACAAAGCUACACUAGACAAAGACAACUGCUGUAUAGUGGGUGUUUUAGAAACUUAAAGGAAAGAAACUCAAAAGCUUCAAUUUGUUUGUCGUGCUCCUUUAACUUCCUCUUUUACUGUUAUACAAGCGAAAACAAGAGAGAUUUAAUGAGUAAAGGGAUACUUUACGCCUUGAUAUACAAGUUUAUUGUCAUGAUCUAGCAAGGUUUCUUCUAAGGAUCUUGGCUUUCUUUGUCUAUAAAGAAGUUGGGUUUUUGGUUGUUUAAUUAAUUUCUACUAGAAUUGCAAGAUAAAAAGGGAUACAAACACUACAAGAAAGCCGGGCUUAUGUGACGACAGAUAUUCGUCAUAGAAAAUAAAAAUGCGUCACAUUUGAUAAUAUGUGACGCCUUUACAGCGUCACUGCGAACGUCACCUAUGAUGCGUCACGGAAAGUAUAAGUGACUAAUUUUAAAAGCGCCACAUAUUUGUAGUAUAUGUGACACUGUUUUCGUCAAUUAAUAGGAGAUUGUGACGGAUUAGGCGUCACAAAAGAAUAAAUUAUGUGACCUAUAUAAUUCGUAAUGUAUGAAAUAGAUAAGUGACACUGAAGGCGUCACAUUUUUCUUCCAUUUGUGGCAUAGCUUGGGUCACUUAUGUCAAAAUAAAAUAUCUAUUUUGAAAAUAUAUGUGACAAACCAAUACAAUUCCCUAUUUAUAAUAUGAUGUUACAAUUCCUUGUUUAUAAAAAAGAAUCAAUUAUGUGACCUAUAUAAUUCGUCACUUAUGAAAUAGAUAACUAACACUGAAAGCGUCACAUUUUUCUUCCAUUUAUGGCACAGCCUGGAUCACUUAUGUCAAAAUAAAAUAUCUAUUUUGGAAAUAUAUGUGACAAACCAAUACAUAUUCCCUGUUUAUAAUCUGAUAUUACAAUUCAUUGUUUAUAAAAAAGAAUAAAUUACAUGACCUAUAUAAUUUGUCACUUAUGAAAUAGAUAAGUGACGCUGAAAGUGUCACAUUUUUCUUCCAUUUGUGGCGUAGCCUGGGUCAUUUAUGUCAAAAUAAAAUACCUAUUUUGGAAAUAUAUGUGAUAGACCAAUACAUAUUCCCUGUUUAUAAAGGAUCAAGGGACAAACAUUUUGACAAACAUAUAUAUAUAUAUAUAUAUAAUAUAUAUAUGUUUUUUUUUUUAAGAUGAUAACAUUUCCUGAAUAAAACUGAGAAGAUAUAUAAACCGGCAAGCAAGUUUAUUUAUCUUAAGAAAGUAACAGUAUUUCCAUAUUCACUUUCAGGUUAUUACAACUUUGACGUCGAAAAAAUAAGAACAUUUAGGGAAGAUGUUUUUCUCAUAAGUUAGGGUUUCUUCAAUGUUUGUCGGUUUCUUUACCUAAGUAAGUUUUUAUCUGUCAAAUUAGUUACGAAGGCUUACUGUCAAAUUGAAUGAAAGGUAAUGAAAGCAGAAAAUAGAAAACAAAAUAUCGGAGUUGACUAUUGGUAGGAUGAAUUUGAGUUAAAUUUCUUUGAAAACUUUAAAAUUGACAAGGAUUACCAAAACUAUACAAUUACCACAUAACAAGAACACAAAGGAAACUACGAGCUUGUUUGGUAUCCUAUUUGAAAAUUAUUGUCAUUUCUCAAAACAUUUCUUGAAAACAAUUUUCUUUAAGACUAAAAAACUUGACUGGUUUGCGAUUUACAAUUUUUAAAUCUUACAACUAAAAUUAGGCAAAGAGAUCUAAAAAGAGGGGAUCGUAGGAGAGGGAGAAAGAGGAGAGAAGAGGAAAGAAAGCAAGAGAUGAUUGAAGAAAAGAGAAAGAAGAGAGAGAAUCGAACAAAAGAGAGAGGAAGAGGAGUGAGAGAAAGAACAUAGAGAAUGAAAAGAGCAGAUUGAAAGAGAGACGAAACAUGUAAAAAAAUAAAAAUAAAGAGGAGAGAGAGAGAGAAGAAAAGAGAGAGAUUUGGAGUGAGAGGGGAGAAGGGAGAGAAGAAAAAAAAGUGUGAGUUUAAGUUUAAAAACUCUAAAAACUCACUUUUUAUGUUUUUAGAUAAUAGACUAUAUUUUUGAGUUAGUCUUGAGUUUAGUUUUUUAAGUAGUCUUACCAAAGACUAAAACUUGAAAAUUGUUUUUGAGUUUAAAAAAUUGGAUUCAAGGAAAGUAUCAAACAGACGCUAAAAAACUUGAAACAAAAGUUUACAAACAAACAACCAACGACAUAAGGAAAACAGACUGCAUACUUUUAUUUACACCAUUUUGUAGUACCCUCAAAACUAAUUGGCAAGUUAUUUAAUUACCAUAAGUGAUAAUGCUGUCCAUAAUCUUGGCCACUACCUCCUUAGAAUCCCUAAGCUUUUUUAUGCUUUUGUUAAGCUUCUCACGCUUUACUGCCAUUGCCGGCGACUCCUCCAACAUCCUCUCGAUUCCCCCAUCGUAAUGUCCCAUCAACUCAUUCAUAAUCUCAGCUUCCAUCUCUUUGUUCACAAGGUUAAAAACAGACAGCUGCAAGUGCAAUGCCAUGAAGUCCACAAACCUCCUCAAAACAACCUUCCAAUAGGCAGUCAUUCUCAUUUUAAGGUCAUAAGCUUGAGCUAAAACAUGCGGUUACUUCCUCAGAACACCGACUUCAACUUCCCCGAUGCCUUCUAUAGCUAUGAUAGAAGGUUUAUUCUCGUCAGUUAAGACUCCAUGAAUGAAAACAUUUUGACUAGCCAUCAACUUGUUCCAUUCGGAAACAUAAUCAGCAUUGCAUGUAUAAUCUGUCAGCUUUUCCAUCUCUACAAGCUCCAGCAUCCACUUUGACACGCCCUGAUCCGGAUGUCCUGGAGACAUCGGGAUAGUCACGUGCUGGCCGACACCCGAGGGGUGACGAAAGCCAUUUAAAAGGCAUAAGAACGAGAAAUAUGAAUUUAAUAUAACAUUUAAUAGGCAUUUAAGGAACGUGUUCAGAGCAUAUAACUAAUUAGAAUACUAGGAAAAAAAUGAUAUAAAAAUUGAAUAAACAAAAGGAGUGGGUCCUACACCGAGAGGACUCGAAGAUGCCAAUGUAGAAGUGUCUUGACGCCGGGAUUGUAUGCCUCGAUUCUAAGCCCUGAAGGGGGCGCAAAACAAAGGUGAGUGGACCAGUUUGAUAUACAUAUAAUAAAACAGUUAUCAACAUACUAACCCCCUGAUUUUUAUGAAAACACAUAUAUGUAUCAUGAUAAACAUAAGUUUUCCGAAACCUAGAAUGUCGUGCAAUAUCUCAAAUCAUAACUCGCAAAACAUAAUAAACACUAGUGUCAAAUGUCCACAUAUAUCCAUCCAGGCCCUAUGUCAUCUCCCCAUCCCUGAGCAUACAGUCAAAGAAAAUAUGACUUCAGGCCCUAUGCUAGCUCCACUGUCCCUGUUCUAAAUAGUCAGAGGGAAAUACACUCCAGGCCCUAUGCCAACUCCACCGUCGCCCGGGAUGGACCGAAAUCUAUCCCUACAUCCCGUAGCGGAAAUUGGGACAGCUAGGUAAUACAGAAUCAUCGCACAUAUAUUUAUUCAAAAGUAACAUCAUAUAUCAUUCUUAUAAACUCAUGCUUUUUAUGCGUGCAAUUCUACUAAUAAAGCAUGUAUUUUAGAAGGGGUCCACUCACAGUACUUCACCGUCGAAAGCCGCGCUGCUAACAAAGAUAGAAACGCCACAAUAAUUGCCCCUAAGCACAUAAACGUUCCAAUUAAUAAAUCUUUAUUAAAACAAUUGAAUUUGAGAAAACGGACGUCGAAAACGGAUUCAAGACGUUGAAUUACCUUAAGAAGGGUCCUGGAUAAAUUUCGUAAACGUCAAUAGAAUAUUCCACAUCAAGAGUUUGGGCCGGCUAGGGUUUAAGGGUUUAGUGCUUAAGGCCCUAGGUUAAAAAGGUUUGGGUUAGACUUUUAAAAAGGUUAGGCUUAGGUUAAAUAGGUUUAGGGCUUAGGAAGUUGGGUUGGGUCCUUAAGGGUUUUGGGUUUCUAGGUUAAAGGGUUAGGAAAUUGGGUUGAUAAAAAGGGCCUAGGGUAAAUAAUUGGGUUUGGGCUUAAAAGGGUCACGGAUUGGGCUGGAGACCCGUGGGUUUUGGGCUGGUUUCAAAGGACUUGGGUCGAGUUGAUUCGUUUUCAGGCCAAUGAAAUGGUCGAUUUCUGGGUAUCACUUCGAACGCCCAUAACUUCUUCGUUACUCAUCCAAAAUAAGUAAUCCAAACAUGAAAGUUGUAGUACUCGACGAGAUGAAGAGAUUGAUACCCUGCACUCCGCCAAACUCUCCGUGGUUUGGCCGGAAAACACCUCGAAAGGGGCGGUGCUCGUCGGAAAACUGGGUUUUUUGGCCGAAUGUUUGGGUAAUUUUCAAAGCUUUGUAACUUCUUCGUUUCUUAACCACAUUGAGUGAUUCAAAAUCUAAAAUGUAGUUAGGAAUGUGGAGAAGAGGUUCAUACCAAGUGAGGACCGAGUGGUUACCGGAGUUCACCGAAAAACGACCUGAAAAAUCAUAGCAAAAGACAGCAUAGUGAAAGAGGCUUGAGUUGUAGUGCUAGUUGCUGGAGUCGAAGAAGGGGUUGUGGUAGUGAGAGUAGAAAGAAACGGAGCGGAGGGAGUUGGGAAAGAUUGUGAGGUCGGUUUUGAGGUGGCAUUGGAGAAACUAGUGGAGAAACCAAAAGAGGAUUGCAAAGCGGAGGAAGCCAGAGUUCCGAAGGAAGAGAAUCUGGAAACGGUUAUUGAUGGGGGAGCAGCGGUGGUGGGAGCAGAGGUUGUGGGUUUCAAAAGAGAGGAGGAUGUUGGUAAUGUGAAAGCUGAAAAGGAAGUGGAGAAGCUUUGGAACCAUUGGGUGGUUAGAGCUAUAGAGGAUGACGGUUGGGACGAGGAAGUUGUGCCAGACAGCGGCGAGGGUACGCUGGGUGCAUAGGACGUUGUGCCAAACAAGUGCGAAGCGGAAGUUGAGGGGUUCCAAACAGGGGUGUGGGUGCGCUGGGUGCAAAUGAGGUUGCUCUGAAUGGGGAUGAAGUGGCGAAAGAAGGAGCGCCGAAUAGAAGGGACCAUUGGGUGGUUUGACCUAUAGAGGAUGAAGGUUGGGACGAGGAACUUGUACCAAACAGCGGCGAGGGAGCGCUGGGUGCAUAGGACGUUGUGCUAGACAACUGCGAAGCCAAAGUGGAGGAGGUUCCAAACAGGGGUGUGGGUGCGCUGAGUGCAAAUGAGGUUGCUUCGAAUGGGGAUGAAGUGGCGGAAGAAUGAGCUCUGAAUAGAGGGGACCAUUGGGUGGUUGGAGCUACAAAGGAUGAAGGUUGGGACGAGGAAGUUGUGCCAGACAGCGGCGAGGGUGCGCUGGGUGCAUAGGACGUUGUGCCAAACAACUGCGAAGCAGAAGUGGAGGGGGUUCCAAACAGGGGUGUGGGUGCGCUGGGUGCAAAUGAGGUUGCUCUGAAUGGGGAUGAAGUGGCGGAAGAAUGAGCUCCGAAUAGAAGGGACCAUUGGGUGGUUGGAGCUACAGAGGAUGAAGGUUGGGAUGAGGAACAUGUGCCAAACAACGGUGAGGGAGCGCUGGGUGCAAAUGAGGUUGCUCCGAAUGAGGAUGAAGUGGCAGAAGAAGAAGCUUCGAAUAGAGGGGAGACGGAUGCGGUGAAGGUGGUGGCAGGUGCGGAGGAUAUGAAUGGGGAGGUGCAAGAGCCGGAACAGAAUAAGGAAGGAGGGUUGGAGAAAAAGAAAUGGAAGUGGAUUGGGCGGAAGAGGAAGAAAAGGAAAAGCCAGUGGUGGACGUGGUGGCAGGUGUGGAGGAUAUGAAUGAGGAUGUGGAAGAGCCGGAAAAGAAGAAGAAAUGAGGGUUGGAGAAAGAGAAAGGGGAAGUGGAUUGAGCGGAAGAGGAAGAGAAGGAGAAGCCGGUAGUAGACGUGGUGGCAGGUAUGGAGGAUAUGAAUGGGGAGGUGGAAGAGCCGGAACAAAAGAAGGAAGUAGGGUUGGAGAAAGAGAAAGGGGGGUGGAAAAGGAAGAGAAGGAGAAGCCGGUGGUGGACGUGGUGGCAGGUGCGGAAGAUAUGAAUGGGGAAGUGGAAGAGCCGACUGAGAAGGAAGGAGGGUUGGAGAAAGAGAAAUGGGAAGUGGAUUGGGCGGAAGAGGAAAAUGCCGAGGAUUCAAAUAAAAAGCUCGACAUUGUUUUCUCUCUUCUGCUGCUGCUGCUGCUCUAUGUUAUUGAGAGGUUUUUCAAAUUUUGGGGUUUUUGGUUAACACAUUUCAAAGCCUUCUCUUUUCAUUUUCUGGUUGUCAAUGGCUUCAUCCGCCUAAGUUUUCACAUUCUGGAGAUUUUGUUUCACUUUUACCAUUGUAAGACUAUAGAUCAUAGAUGCUGACAUGGUUGGACAGAUGUCGAAUAAUGGUGUCGUUGCGGCCCCCACCGUCAAAGAAAAAGCAGUCCCCAUGGGCAUUCAAGCUGAAAGAGAACUCAUAAUUGUAUAAAGGUUUUGCAUCACAUUCAUAACUCGAUCCGAAAACUUCACAUCUCAGAUUUUCGAUCUGUAACUUCCAAAGAUUUACAUUAUGCUUCUAAAAUAAUAUACUAAAAUAUUACCAUGAUUCGACAGUCGGAUCUUCGCCAAUCAAAAUUCAAGUGGCAGUCAACAUUUUAUUUUGCGAACUUACUAAUCCAAUUCAGGAAGAUUCAUACGUCAAAUUCCCAAUCCGUAAGUUUCUAUGGUCCUCAAAUAUUACGUACUAUAAUGUAUUAAAGUUUUGUGCCAAUCCAACCAUCAGAUCAUCGAUUGCUAUAAUGUUAAAGAGGCAUACCUUAGAGAAAUUAUACCCAAACGAUGGAAUUUCAUUAAUCGGAUGUCAAAUAUGGAAUCAAGGCAUCCAAAUUAGCCUAGUAAGGUCAGGUGGGGUAUUAGCCUAGCGCUGCCGCACACGGCAACUGACCACCCCAACUCGUCGGAAAAUUCAACUAAUUUCAAAAAUUCUCAAAUUUUACCAGAAUGAAGAUCUCAAUUAGUAGAGCAAGUUUUAUACCUAUGGCCACACCUUAAAUCGCCACAAACCUACCGGAACCCUAGAAAUGGGUGGGUUUCAAUUCACCCUCUCCGAUGCUUUGACGUGCCAACCAAAGCUUGGGACUUGUUCCUGGGUUCAAGAGGUGCUGAAAUAUGGUAGUGGUUGACGAAAGAGCUCGCAGAAAUAGCGGAUUCCACUGUCGUGGCUUCGGAACACCCACCAUAGGGUUUGAAUGGAAAAGGAAGAGAUGAGGCCGAAGUGAUGAAUGGUGGGGGUGGAUGGUCACGAUUCACCAGAAAAAUGGCUGAAAUCACGACGGAAAAGGUGCAAGAAGUCUGGUCAUGAACCCGGUAAAAAAGGAUAUGGUGCUCCUCCACUCAAUAGCAAUUAAAUUGCUACCUCGAAAUAUUGAUCAUUUAAAUACUUGAUUGCAAUACUUAUCUGUCAAUCAUGUAUUAUGCUUAAAAUCUCUAUAUAACAUCUCAAAUGGUGCCAAACCAAAAAUUGAAAUAGUAAUCGUAGUUACAUGCAACCUUAACAAAGAUGAGUGUCUAUUACAAUCAUGCUAAAACUAUAGAACGGAUAAAUGCAACAUGUUCACAAAUGUCUGGAUAGUUCAUUCGAACUAGUAGUUAAUCUGAGGGUGAAAUGUGGUAAUACAUAAUAACUUUGUAACCAUGGUUUUCAAGAAGACUCCCAAAACUUGGAAGUGAUACACGCAUCAUGAUGAGGUACAACAAUGACAUGCACAUUAGGCAUCCAAACAUUAUAAUUCAUAUAUGUCACAACAAGUAGAUUCAUUAUGAAAAUUUCUCUCGAAUUUAGUGAAACACUGUGUCGAGAAGGCUAAAAGAACAAUCAAGAAUUUGAGAAUUAAAAUAAGUCCAUCAAUCUAGAAUACAAAGUAACUAGAUUAAUGCAUAACAUCUCACUACAAUGGUAGCUUCUAGAAUAUUCAAUCACCAACGGUAACGAUUCGCUUAGCAGAGUUUGUUGAGUGAUUGAGAAAUUAAUGGUCACAACUGCAAUUCCAAUGUCAAUGGUUCUUCUAGACAGUUUAUCAACUUCAAAAUAAUGCGAAGUGCAAUAGGGUAGGUAGUACCCAAGGUUGACUGGAAUGCCUUCUAACACAAAAGGUGAAUAUGAAAUCACAAUCAAAGUAGAUGUUGAUCAAAAUGUCAGAAAAUCUGAAAAAUUCAAGAAUGAGUAAUUUUCUCAAGUGAUCAAAAUGUAUUCCCUAUGGACCAAUGGAAAGUAAGCUAACUUGUCAAGUCGGCGAUAAUCACCGAAACAUCAUUGUAAUAUCCACAUAUACAAGAUACCUCAUACCAGGAGCUUAUGGUGAUAUUUCUCAUCUCCAUUUGGAUAUAGAAAGUGAAUAUAACCACUCGAACGAUUUCUUGAUAAUUUGUAAGUAACGUCAACCCAAUGCUCAUGAAUUCCAACUAAAAUGAAAUAGGACAGACUAAAAGCAUUUCGGGAGUAGAUAAUGUCUUUUGAUGUGGCAAACAGUAAUUACGUUUCCACAACGAGGAUGAUACACGAUUGUGUAAUUGUAGAUGUUAAUUUGGUUCCUCUAUCACCAUUGUCAGAAAUCUAUUUCUUUCCAAAUGGAUAUGUACUUGCGAGGUCUAAGAUUGAUAGAGAUUUUGGACACGUUUCUCUAUAGAGAAGUGUCAUUCAGUUUUUAAGUAAGAUGGUAACUAUUGACUCUAAGUUAUGAAUAAGAUGGUUCAUUCCAAACGGUUCUACACGUUGGGAAAUAUAAGCGAUUCUCCGUCAUGCUGCCUCUGUACAGCCAAAACAUCCAAAGAACACAUCAUCAUGGAUUUUCAAAAUAAUUAUUAUCAUCGAAAGGUGUAAAACGAAGGUAAGAUGAGACAACAAUUUAGUUGUCAGAAACUUUAUUCAUAAUCAACAUCAUAACUAAAUUAACUUUCCUCGAUCGUAAAUGAGGAAAAAACACUACAGCCGAAGGAUCGCUAACAAAUUGUCGAUAAAAUCGACAUGACCAAAGAUAUCUCGAACGUCACUACACUUCGUGUGAAUUUCAACUUUCUUCCACUAAACCCUUUUUGGAAAAGAAAAGAUUAUCGUUUACGAAGAUCACGUCUCCCAAGAAAAGUACCAAUUUAAUCAAAGUUAAUAGUUGAGCACUUUGGUAUAAAGCUGACUAUUGAUAUUUAGAGAAUUUGGUCUCACUGUCAAGGUAGAUGAAAAAGUCAUCGAUAAGACCACUAUGAAUACGUUAGGCUAUGGGAGAAAACUCAGGUUACAAAGGUUGGUCAGCUCGACCAUCAACUCGAAAUAGGGGCUAACGGUUUUUGGUCGUCACGUGAUUGAGUCGCUAAAGUCUAGGUACAACCCUAAGGUUCAACCUUUCGCCUUUACGAAUAGGUUUGAGAUUCUCUAGAUAAAGUGUUUGGUUAGAUACAGGGUCGGGCGUGUCAGUUUGGUAUUAGAGCGUGGUUUGUUCAUAGCAUACUUAGGAUCUUCUAUUAUUGUAGUAGUGUGUCGAUCAUGACGUCAUUUGGAUGUCACGACUUCCUGAUUUGUUGUCUUUCGGCACAGUUAUGCAACCCUCAUUCUGCAUGAAUAGUCACAUCUUAUGGAAGAAAAAGAAAAUUCGUGUUGGGAUUUUGCCUCAGUGUUGACGAAAUGGAUUGUUGAACAACUUUCAACAUCGAACUGAUACUCUAUAGCAUGCGUUCCCUAAGAAUUGCGAGUAGAGUUGGUGUUUACAUUGAAGUGACUAUCUAAGCCGAAGAAACUAUCAUAGACACUUAAGAGCAAGUCUUGUAGAAUGACUGUAACCUCCUAGUUGUUUUAACCAUGUUUUCCACUUAGGUAACCAAAACCUCUUCGUCUAGCCACAUUUUCGAUCACUUCCACAAGUGGACAAUAGAAUCGAAGUACAAGUUAACUUCUCAUUAUUAGAGUGAAGUAGCGUAUCGAGAAAGCUACAAAGACUUAUUAGCACGUGUCUACCCUGGUGUUCGGUAGAUAUCAGGGUCGGGCGUGUCAGCGAGUAUCUUUGACAUAAUUCAAAGACGUAGUAACUAAAGUAUGCUUAAUAGACCUCCAAGAAAUUGUGGUUCCACCAACAAUACCCAUUUAGGAUCUUGCCAUGUACGGAUCGAAUAAGUACAUAGCGUCAACAUAACCAACAAAAGCAACUCGAAAACUAGGGGGAGGGGGGACGGUUGCACUCAAAGUUGAGUAAGGAUAGGACAAACACAAGUCCACAACACUAUUAAGAUAACAUAGAGUUUUUUUAACACAUUUCAAUGUCUGCAUGUUGGCACAUGAUUGUGUUAUGCUAAGAGAUUUAUAAUGCAGGAGAUGUUAGGUCUUGUACACUGAGAUAAGUACAACAAAGCACCAAUUGCACUUAAGUAUGGAACCUCAGGUUCUAAAACUUCUUCAUCAUCUAUCUUUGGACGGUAUAGGUCUUAUUGUGCAUCAAGCGUACAGAUGACAAUGAGAGUACUCAAAGUCCACGCUUUAUCAUUAAAGCAUUGUAACAUCGUCUUGGUGUAGUUUGACUAGUUGACCAUGACUAAUGGACCAUAAUGUUGGAUUGUGAACUACCUUAGUAUAUAUGUGCAGAAGUGUGGAGGUUGGCAUAAACAUAAAUAAUCAUUUUAACAUGCAUGUUUGCGAAAUGCUGGAUUCCAUUUAAUCAUAUUAAAUUAAUUUAUGUAUUGGUUAUGUUCAUGUAUAAUAAAAUUAAGAACACAUGUAUAAACUUAGAGUACGUUUUAGAAUUCUAACCUUUAGAUUUCAUAGGUGGACGAAUUCAAUGUUGUUGAGGCUACUAAGUGUUAGCCGUCUACUAGUAUCUACACAAAUAAAUCUUCGGCUAGUGAAGCAAGAAGACAACGAUCUGCUAGAACUUUAUCUAUUAGGUAGGUGCUGCGGCAGAGGUACAAUGCAUUGUUAUGAAGUUGGUCUAUAUUGUCACGCCUCGCCCCGAAAUAUAAAUAUAUUAAAUCUUCGGCUAGCGAAGCAAGAAGACGACGAUCUGCUAGAACUUUAUCUAUCAGGUAGGUGCUGCGGCAGAGUGACAAUGCAUUGUUAUGAAGUUGGUCUAUAUUGUCACGCCCCGCCCCAAAAUAUAAAUAUAUUUCGGGAAUUAAUUAUGGUAGGCCCAACUUAAAAACGUAGUUAAUUUAUUUCCUUUAACCACAUCCCUCUAAGUCAAUAUUACUUACUAUUACAAGCUAUCCAUAUUUUCUUAAAAUGUCAAACAUAUCUUUCAUUUAACAAUUGAAUUCACUAAUAUUAGUUGUCAUUCUCCAAAUAAUUCCCUUCGUCCCACGUAGAAUCUAUAACCAUUAUUCGUUUACCAAGAUAUACAAUUUACUUUCCAAUUUAGAACCAUUUCCUUCUCUUAGAUCAAAUUCCAUCUAAACACUAAUUCUCGAUUAUUUAGUCUCACUUAUUUAUGGCUGCAUCUAACGUCUUGUUAGACUGCCUACGUACCCUAAACAAAGAUCAAGCCAUUCGUAGUUCACAAAUUCAAAUUCAAUUAAACUUUGAUAUUUCUACACAUAAUUAACAAUCACCAACUAGCUUCAAAUAAGUGUAUCACAUUAAAUACUUAUUUAACUUGAAUCCAAAACAUCAAAUUUAGCUUAAAAUACGGCAUCGGUUCCCUAGCCAUGCGUCGUCGCCGUCCUGACUUGCCGAAAAAUUCAACUAUUUCUAAAAAUUCUCAAAAAUUACAAAAAUGAAGAUCUCAAAGAGUAGAGCAAACUUUAUACCUAUGGCCAAGCCCAAUUUGGCCGGGAAACACCUCAAAUUGGCCACGAACUGCCGAAAACUCUUGUUUUGGGUGUUCUUGAUUUGUCUCCAAAACAACUUCGACGCCUCAACCAAUGCAUGGGCUUUGUUCUAGGCCUCAAGAAGAGUAUGAGAGUAGUGGUAAUUGAAUGAAAUCACUUCAAAAUUUGGUGAAUUUUGACACCUACACCGUCGCACCCACCGGUGCGUUUUACCCCAUUUCAAGGUCAAAUUUCAUGAUUUUUGGGGGGUAACAGGGUUAGGGAAGGUCAUUGAGGGUUUUCCAAGUGGUAGUUUAAAUUGAUUUGCUGGAAAAUGGGCUAAAACUCACCAAAAAUAGCAAGGAAAACCGACCGAAUCGAGUCGGGUCCUUUCAGGUCAGGGAUCCCCCGUACCCCUUUUCUCUCAUUUUCCCCCCUUUCUCCUUUCUCCCAUUGGUCAACCUCCCCCUAUUCCUUCCUUCCUUUUCUCCUUUCUAUUCUUUUCUUUCAAUCUCAACCGUCCAUUUCUUUAUUUAUUUUCAUCUCAGCCACACACGUGGCACAACCAUUGGAUCAAAUUUUCUGGAGCCUUCUACCAUAAAAUGAAAUUAUUAAAAUAUCCUUAACUUUAAACGUUAAUAUCUUCUUUGUUAUAACUUCGUUUCAUGAACGGUUUGUGCCUACACAUUCAUGAGAUCGAGCUCUAUUCAAAAAUAUAAAUUGUCACUCUGAAUAGUUUUCGGAUUUUUAAAUAAUAAAUUCCCAAACUUAGAACUUCUUAACCAGUUUAAUUUAAAACUAAACUCGAAUAAAUUAAUAUAAUUUCUUGAAAAAUAAUCUAAAAUCUCAAUCAUACAAAUACAUAAAUUAUAAUAAUUUCCGAAAAUAAAACUUUAAAAUUUUCCAAUUCUACUUUCAUAACCAUAAAUCGAUUUAUUUUCAAUUUUCUCCACAUAUUCAUAUAUUUAAAAUUUCAGGGUAUUACAUAUAUUGUAUUGGAAAAUAAACAACAAGAAAGUUCAGAUGCCAUACCCUUUAAUAGCCAUAACAAGUGUUGAAGUUGUCGAAGUUGUAGUUUUACUAGAACUGUUUGUUGUCGUUUCAGGUACAAUGUAAGGAAUAUUUCGUCAAAACUAGGUUUAUGGAUAAAAAAUAAAAAAAAACAUACCAACUCAAGCAGUAAGGAUAAACAACUAAAUUAUUCUAAACAAGUGAACUCCAAAUGUAAUGACCUGUCUCAAAAUUUUAUAAAUUUCAGAACGACAAGGGUAAAUUGGUAUUUUCACAUGUGAGAGAUAUUUGCAUGUUUGUCUCUUAUGACUUGUUUGGUGCGCCAAUGAGGCCCACCGCUUUUAUUUGGGGACUAGGAUUAUCUCUUCUGACACACCCUGACCCAAAAUAUCGAGAUGUGCUGGCAGUCACGUGAGGAUGACGUAGCCAUGCGCGUUGUGCGGAAGAAUUAAAGUGAAAGACAGUGAGGAAACGAAAAGUAAACCGAAUAAUUUACAUCAAAAGAUAAGUGAGUAAAAGUGAUGAAAAGGAAAGCAUAAAGCACCACAUCAAAGUUCAAGUAACCUAGGUGCAGUCCGGAAUAAACAAGUACUGAAUAAACGUUAACCAAAUAAAUCCUACAUGGAUGAUGCCUUGUUAAAACUGUCUCGAUGCCUCGCUCGCCACCAACGUCGCAACUACCUAAAACUUGGAGCGGCGCAAAACUGAAAACAUGAGUGGGUAAAAACAAAGUUUUUCCAAAACCGUUUCAAUAUCAAAAUAGUAACCCCUCUCCCUAUACUUUCUCAGAAAAUAUCAUCCAUACUCAAAUAUCAAUCAUGCUGGAAAACGAUAAAUCUCAAAUAUGCCAUGUUAGAAUACGACAUGUCGAAUUACCCAAUCAAAACAAAAUAAGUAUCAAGUAGGUGAGAUAAAUCAAAUCAUAAUAUGCCGCCAAUCUCAAUACGUCAGUUGGAGUCACCUAACGUGAACUGUACGACUGAAUAUAUAGCUCCUCAAUCACUAUCUUGCACACGAGUCGGAACCACCUAUAGUGGUCUGUACGACAGGCUGGGUGUAUAAUUACGCUCAGUGCUACGAUCACGUGAAGGCUGUGCAACGUAUCACAAGUCACCUAUGAGUCGGAACCACCUAUAGUGGUCUGUACGACAGGCUGGCACCUGCCUUGGGUCCAAGGUGAGCGUACGGUGCGGGAGGUGAACGAUCACGUGAAGGCUAUGCCGUACUCUGGCAGAGCACAAACACCGGGGUGCAGGAAUAUGAGCUAUAUCUCAAUCUCAUCAUCAUCACAACUAUCACUAACAAGUAUACUCACCUGACUUACCUGAGCGACGCCAAUUCAUAACCAACAUAAAUCAUAAUAAACAAUAAUGAUAUUCGACAUGGCAUUUCAAUUAUAAAACCAUUUUAAAACAUAAUAUCUGGGAAAAUAUCAAAUAUAUAUAUAUAUAUUCUGAAAACAAAAGCCCACUCACUGAUAAGUAGAAGGGUCUUAGCCCCCGAGCCUGGCAUGGCUGUGCUCGUCUUCUGGAUAAGCCUUACCUAUAUGUGAAACAACUAUAAAACCGUCAAUUAAACGCACAUAACCAACCUUAGGUAAUAACUUCUCAUACAUUGCUCAAUUGGAGGUGUUUGAAUCUAACAACAUGCUUUACUUAAUCUCAGAACACCCUCAUAUUUUUAGAAAAAAUUUCUUGUCACCCACGCGUAGGCACGUGCCUGGCACACGGACGGAACAGUUAAUGCCGUAAGGAAUAUUUUGUUAAAAAGUAACAGAUUCCAUUAAAUCUAACCUGACACUGUUAGAAUAUUCCAUCAAACUUGACGGAAUAUUCAUCGUCUCCUUCCUUGAGUCACGGGAGUCCGGCGCCGGUCGCCGUCUGUUUGCGGGUUUCUGGAAAAUUUUCAAAUGUUGAUAUCUCAGUCAAAUCUUAACUAAAUUUCACGAAAUUAACGUCAAAAUGAAGCUUAGGACAAGGGGAAGAAAUCUAUACCAAUUUGAGGUCCCAACGAUGCUGGAAUCUCGCCAGAGAAAUCUCGAAAAAUCUGAUCAACUAUAGAACUCAAGAUUUCGACAUCCAAAACACGUCAACGUUGCUCCCCAAGCUUCGUGAAGACGUCUAGAAACUCCCUGUGAUCUUAGAAUCUCUAAAAACCUCCUCAAUCACGAGUGCAUGAACAAUACCUUUAUUGGAGCUUUCAGGUUUCAAGGGUUUUCAAGGUUUUCAGGACAAACCAAGGGUAUAGUUGAACUUGCAAGGGUGCAAGGAGAAGCAUGUAUAUCCGUACUUAGGGUAUGGAAAAUAGAAGAAAAAUCGAGAAGGAGGGAGAGACAGAACCAGAAACAGAAAAGGAAGAAAAAGGGGUGCACGUGUGCAUGUGUGUGUAUAAGUUUAACCAAUCACACCAAAACUAAGCUCAAGUUCUAAUUGGGUCCAAUAAUUUGGGAUAUCACCCUAUUGGCCCAAUGUAGCUCACACACAUAACCACAAACACGUAAGGGUAAAAACGUCAAUUCAUGCCGUCGAUAAAAUUAUUUCGGGACGGUCUGUCACAUCCUCUCUUUUUUCACCCCCUUCUUUAAUAUUCUUUAUUUUGUAUUUUUUUAUAUAAAUAAAAUAUUAAUAUAAAAUGUAAUCAUGAUCUAUUUGAACGGAAAUUGGAUGGAAAAAAAAAAGAUGAGAGACUUCUCAUUUAUUUGGUCUCCUGGUCCUCCCUCUCUCUUCCUUUUCCCCGUCACUCUCCUCUCAUCUUGGACUAUCACACUCUCUAACUCUCCCGGCCCUCAUCUCUCUCGCACGACCCUCAUCCUCCUUCAAAACCCAAAAAACUGGCGAUUCCACGGAACUGAAACCAAGCUGAAGUCCCCAUCCUUCUCUGUUCCCCCAUCAUCACUGUUCUCUCCUCCCUCGGAACCCUGCAACAUCACCAUCGCGGCAGAGCCGCCUUCUCCGGCGAGUUCGUCGAUUUCCCGACUUGGGGUAAGCCUCGGGAUGCUUAAGAUCUUCAACUGUUACUUAUCUUUUUGUCCUAUUUGCUGCUAAUGAUUUGUAGCAAGAGUUGAUUUUUAACUGUUUCUAAUUGGUAAUGGAUUAAAGGAAGUUCAUUUACUAUUAGAGGUGCAUGUGAAAGUAAGCUUGAUUCGUAACCUCGUCGAGCAUUUGGAGCUCGCUUUGACUGAGGUUUUUCGAUUUGAUGUGAUGGCGUAUAAGCUUUUCUCAGUUUCUCGGUCAUUUUAAGGGUGACCAAGAUUAUCUCUGUGAGCAAUGUUGAGGUUAGGGAUUGGAAGUAAAUGAAAAGGGGUGUCUUUUCAUCAAAGGCUGAGGCCAAGAUUAUCUUUUGAGAAAACUUUGAGGCCUUACCUAGAUUGCAAGUCUCUGUUAAGUUCCAAUUGACGAAGAUGUUUAAAACUGUUGAAAUUAUACUGCCUUAAUUGAAAGGAGGCCUUACCUAGGAUAAUAUCUAGCUCAUUCGGGGUCUUUUUUUGGUUCUUUAACUACAUGAAAUUUGCAUUGAGAUGAAUUCUUAUCCUGAAUGAGUACAUGUGAGAAUCACGCGUGAUUGACGGAAAAUUAUGAAAUAAGAUAAUGAAUUCCGAAGGCUGGGUGCUCAGCUGGAGAUGCGGAUAAACAAAGAAUUAUAUGUUGAUUUGAAAAGGAAGACGUUUAUAUUGUUGAUUGGAGUAUAUAUGGCCGAUGAGAAUAUGCUAAACCGAUAGUUGCUCCUUGUAGGUUGCGGGGGAAGUGGUAACAUUAUGUGUUCAGAAUGUGGUGGCCGCGGGUAUCUAAGAUGACCAUACCGGUUCGCUUAUCUUCCUUGAAUUUGUUGUAUGUGCAAGUAACUUGUGUUAUAGCCAUGACGCUUUCCCUAAUUUUUUGUGGCUGAUUCCACGAUGAGUUAAGUGUAACAGUAAUGCAUCUGAUUCAUUUACUCUUCGAAAUGGUGUUCUUCCUCAGAUUUAUGUGCCAUUUAUCGUGUUGAAUGUUCAGAACCAUACAAUUACCACAUAACAAACACAAAGGAAACGAAAAAACUUGAAACAAAAGUUGACAAACAAACAACCAACGACAUAAGAAAACAGACUGCAUACUUUUAUUUAGACCAUUUUUAGUACCCUCAAAACUAAUUGGCAAGUUAGUUAAUCCCCAUGAGUGACAAUGCUGUCCAUAUUCUUGGCAACUACCUCCUUAGAAUCCCUCAGUUUUCUUAUGCUUUUGUUAAGCUUCUCACGCUUUACUGCCACUGCCGGGGACUCCUCCAACAUCCUCUCAAUUCCCCCACCGUAUGGUCCCAUCAACUCAUUCACAAUCUCAGCUUCCAUCUCUUUGUUCACAAGGUUGAAAACAGACAGCUGCAAGUGCAAUGCCAUGGAGUCCACAAGCCUCCUCAAAACAACCUUCCAAUAGGCAAUCAUUCUCAUUUUAAGGUCAUAAGCUUGAGCUAAAACAUGCGGGUACUUCCUCAGAACACCGACUUCGACUUCCCCGAUGCCUUCUAUAGCUAUGACAGACGGUUUCUUCCCAUCAGUUAAGACUCCUUGAAUGAAUUCGUUUUGACUAGCCAUCAACUUGUUCCAUUCGGAAACAUAAUCAGCAUCGCAUGUAUAAUCUGUCACCUUUUCCAUCUCUACAAGCUCCAGCAUCCACUUGAUUGACCUUUCCUUCAUCUUGGCCAUUAGAUUAUGGCCGGCACGCCUUGCUGACAGCUGCAGCUGAUAAUAGUUCUCCGAAUUACGCAUCAAGACAGAAAUAACCGCCUCUUCAAUGUAGAUCCACACUCGUUCCACAAAUGCAAUCGGAAUACUUGAAAUUCCAUUCACUUUUCUCUGCAAGAUAAUGUGGAAAGCAUUGCGCGGAAGAAAGUUCGGAAGUGAAAUACCUUUGUUCUCCUCCAAGAUCUUGAUUUCCUCCAUCAAGAAGUUGCUCUUUGCAUCACUUUCAGGACAUCUGUGAAGUUCAUCCGAGUACUGGUUGAGCAUCUCAACCAAUCUAGCAGUGCAGUGCAUGCGGUUGUCUUCCGCGUACUCCUCAAAUUCUCCUCUCAAAAGGAUCUUCCUAAGCGAUUCCUUAGCCAAGCCAAUGAUUUGCAUAAAGGCCGUCAUGGCCUCAGCAACAGACGAAAGACUCUUGGGCAUUUUAUUCAGUUCCAUAAUGCAAAAAUUCAGCCUGUCAUUGAUCUUCUUCACUAUAUCGGGUAAAUUUUUUGCCAUGCUGUUUGGGCAUUUUAUUCAGUAGUCAAGGUAACGUUCUGCUAUGGUUAACCACCCGUAAGGGUCCUCGCCAUUAAAUCAUGGCAGUUCCAUUUUAAUAGCUUUAAAAUGUGAAUGAGGGUUCUAGGGAGGUGGGUUGGGUAAUAUGGGAAGGGAGGGUGGUGAGGAGUUGGGUGCCGUGGAGGGACUUAAGUGGAAGGAUUGUGAGUGUGAUAAAUGGUAGGGUUGGGGCUGUAGCGGUGGGAAUGGGGGUGGGUGAAGUGGUGGUGGUGUAAGUGGAAAAUGGGGCUAAGCUCGGGGAGAGUGGGUAGGAAAUGCCCAGACUUGAGGAUUGAGCACUGAAAGGCACAAAAAUUAAACGAAAUCAAGGGGAUGGGUUAAGGUUAGAGGGACGAGGACCGAGAAAUGAAGUGGUCUGGUGUUGAGGUUGAAUGGGGGUUGAAGAGGGGUUGGGUGUGUGGUGGGUGGCGGUGUGGGUGGAGGUUUGGGAGGGUGGAGGCCCCGAUUUGAGGAUUCGAAGUUCGCCAAGCAUUAGGGAUUGAAAAGCUGCAAACUGUGAGGUUAUAUUGUUUUGAAAAGCUGUGUUGGAGGUGUUCAAGGUUUCGAGAGAUUUCUGGAGGUGGGUUUGUUGUGUUUCCAGGGCGAAGAUUGAGUCACACAAGUCAUCAACUUGAGUUCGCAGGUAUUUUUGACGAACAUCAACCGCAACAGUGACGGCGUCUGGAUCAGAGGUGGCGGACUGCAUGUUUUUGCCCAUUAAAUCGACGGGCUCUGAUACCAAUUGGUAUGCCCAAUCGGUUCAGGUUGGCUGAAAAUGGCAACUUUAAUACAAAAUAGUGCAGGAAUUUAAAAGAAGAAAGGGAAAGAAGAGUUUGAGAAAAAAGAGGCAACUUUAAUUCAUCAUUUCAUAGGUUCUUUCUACUCUCCUUUGUUACAAAUUUAUACUCCUCAUAAAAGGAAAAAACCCUAGCUACUUGGACGUAAGGAAAGAAGGCUGGUACGGCCCGGUUACAAGAGGAGAAGUAGUGGACUCAAGUAAAUGGGCUUAACAUGGUGUCGUUGGGGCCCCACCAUCAAAGAAAAAGCAGUUCCAUGGGCAUCCAAGAGGAAAGAGAACCCACAAUAGUAUAAAGAUUUUGCGUCACACUCAUCGCUUCGGCAUCAAUCCUUUUCCCUCCUUGCCGAUGUUCUUUAUAUUUUACUUUCUUUCUUCAUAAGUUGUUUGUAGAUGACAUGUUCUGAGAAUCUCUUGGGUGUCGUAUGCGUGCUACAAUACUCGUUUGUGUCAAAACACACAUAAACAUUAUUCUUUCCGUUGAGAUUUAAAAUUAAAAGUCUAUAGACACUUUUUGGUGAACUCGAAUUAAGGAAUUCUCAUUUUAUGUGUUAAGUUUUAUGCGGAUGAGUUAAGUGAUACAAAUUCAAAAAUUACUCUACAUUUUAAGCUGUUGUUUUUUUUUAACAUUUAUAAGCACAUAUAACUGAACUAGGACGCCACACAACAAUAAACCAAUUUUGUAUAAAUCAUUGUUACUUGGAGAUUAAGAUUAUGGCACCAUGAAAUAUUAAAUAGUUUUGCAAGAAAAAAAAGAACGUGGGAAAGAUGACAGGGCUAAAACAAUUGAGACUACAAUUUAGGACGCAUUGUACCACAUCUUUAAAAAAAGGUGGAAUUUUCUUAUAUUAGUGAACCCUACUUUUAUUAAAUAGUUUUCAAUGUAAUUUAGUAAAGUAUAGCCUCUCUAGCAUGAUAAGCCUAUGAGUAAUUAGCAUUUGUAGACAUCAAAUGCUAAUGAGAAAAAAAAAAAUCUAAUUUCAUCCUAUCCACCUCUAUUAUAACAUUUAUGUUUCAAUGCAUAUACUAAUGAUCAAAAUUCAAAUUUCAAUUGUAGAACUGAACAAAAUUAAAUAUUGGUAACAAAGCAAUAACAUCUGAGCUGUGAAAGCAAAGAGAAAAGUACCACGAUAUAAGAACUUGCGUCACAAUCAAAGCUUCAACAUCAAUCUGUCCCUCCUUGCCAAUGUGCUUUACAUUUUUUUUUUUACUUUCUUCAAAUUUGUUUGUAGAUCACAUUCUUUGAGAAAAUUUUUAGUUCACUAGUUUUGUCACGUCACUUGUUCUUUUAAAAAAAAAAAGAUUCUUUCGCAUCAUCAGUUCAUCACACUACAAUCAUGACUUUAUUGGAUGGAUAACAAUAACAAAAACAAAGUCUUAUUCUAAUAAGUGAGGUCGGCUAUAUAAAAUGUCACUGCAUUCAGUUUUGCUUCAUGUUCAUUAGAUGAAUAAUACAAUUUUUUCAAUACAUGACCAACUUUACAAAUAUUUUUGGGAAGUAACAUUUACACAAAUUAUUUAGCUUCUUUUUUUUUUUUUUGACAAUUGUGUGAGAAACUAAAAAAAGUGAAAAUAAAAUCUACGACGCUAUUGGAACUAAUUUUUUAUUACAUAAAAAAGUCCCUCUGCCUAGUAAAAGGAGGAGAAUGUGACAUGAUUGCUUUUAUUCAAUCCACAUUCUCCCCCACUUGACCAUUUCAUGAGAAAGGAUCAUCCUCAAAUUCCUUCCAUCAAAUUCUUCCAAUUAACAAAUCUGGACCCUAAAAAUUUAAUUUAACGAUUAAAGUUAGUAUAACUUUUUAAAGAGAUCUCAUGUUUUUAACCGUUUGAUCAAAUUUUAAAUGCUUAAAUUUGUUGAUUGGUUAGAUUUGGUAAAAGGGAUUCGGAGAGGAUCCCUUCCCAUUUCAUAAGUUGUCUAAAUGCUUUUGAUUCCUUUUUCAAAUUGAUGCUAGGCCCAAGAAACAAAGCAACACUAGACUAGACUAAAAACAACUGCCGUACGUUUGCCAAAAAAAACUAAUAACAACUGCCGUACAAAAGCAAGAUAAAAAGAGAUACAAGGGAGAACAUUCUCCCCCACUUGACCAUUUCAUCAACAAUGUUGUCUAAAUGCUUUUUAUUCCUUUUUCAAUUUGAUGCUAGGCCCAAGAAACAAGGCAACACUAGACUAAAAACAAUUGCCGUACAAAAGCAAGAUAAAAAGGCAUACAAAGGAGAACAUAUAUAUAUAUAUGUGUGUGUGUGUGGGUAUGUAUAGAUCAGUUAAAAUGAUAACCUUUCUUAGAUAGAACUGAGCAUAUAAACCAGCAAAGGUAAUAUUAGGGAAAUCAAAAUUUUCAACCAAAUGAUGUGUCAUUAAUAGGAAAUAAGCACGUUAAUCAACACAAAAAUAAUAAUUCAAUCAUCAACAACCACAUCAUUUGGUUUGCAAAUUUGGUUUAAAAAAUUUAGUCUCUCUAGAAUUAUCCAACCGGCAAACAAGUUUAAUUAUCUUAGACAAGUAACACUAUUUACGUAUUUAUUUUCAGGCAAUUACAACUUUGACAUCAAAAAGAAGAUUUAAGGAAGAUGAUUUUCUUAUCAGUUAGAAUUUCUACAAUGCGUGUCUCAUUAUUUACCUAAAUAAAUUUUUAUGUCUGUCAAAUUGGUCAUGAAAGCUCACUAUCAUAUUAAUAAGCGGUAAUGAAAGCAGAUAACAUGAGACAAAAAAUAGGAGUUAACUGUAUGUAGGAGGAAAUCGCAUUUAAAUUUCAUUAAAAACAUUAAACUUGACAUGGAUUACCACAACCAUACGACUACGGACCAUCACACAACAAGAACACAAAGGGAACAAAAGAACUUAAAAACAAAAGUUGACAAACAAACAACCACCCACAUCAGACAACAGAAAGCUAAUUGCCAAGUUAGUUAAUCACCAUAAGUGAUAAUGCUGUCCAUAAUCUUGGCCACCACCUCCUUCGAAUCCCUCAGUUUUUUUAUGCUUUUGUUAAGCUUCUCACGCUUUACUGCCACUGCCGGCGACUCCUCCAACAUCCUCUCAAUUCCCCCACCGUAUGGUCCCAUCAACUCAUUCACAAUCUCAGCUUCCAUCUCUUUGUUCACAAGGUUGAAAACAGACCGCUGCAAGUGCAAUGCCAUGUAGUCCACAAGCCUCCUCAAAACAACCUUCCAAUAGGCAAUCAUUCUCAUUUUAAGGUCAUAAGCUUGAGCUAACACAUGCGGGAACUUCCCCAGAACACCGACUUCAACUUCCCCGAUGCCUUCUAUAGUUAUGAUAGAAGGUUUUUUCUCGUCAGUUAAGACUCCAUGAAUGAAUUGAUUUUGACUAGCCAUCAACUUGUUCCAUUCUGAAACAUAAUCACCAUCACAUGUAUAAUCCGUCAGCUUUUCCAUCUCUACAAGCUCCAGCACCCACUUGAUUGACCUUUCCUUCAUCUUGGCCAUUAGAUUAUGGCCGGCACGCCCGGCUGACAGCCGCAGCUGACGAUAGUUCUCC
Molecule: long non-coding RNA, 85722 nt
Filed under: Malus domestica (apple)
Lineage: Eukaryota; Viridiplantae; Streptophyta; Magnoliopsida; Rosales; Rosaceae
Source: RNAcentral